UCUUUGGUGUGAAAGGAGGACGUGGAGGCCGUGUGACAGCCAUGGCGAGCUACAAGGUGAAGCUUGUGACCCCAAGUGGAGAGCAAGAGUUCAGUUGCCCAGAUGAUGCAUACAUUCUUGAUGCUGCAGAGGAAGAAGGCAUUGACCUUCCUUACUCAUGCAGGGCUGGUUCUUGCUCUUCAUGUGCUGGCAAAGUUGUGGGUGGCCAAGUGGACCAGUCUGAUGGUAACUUCCUUGAUGACGACCAAAUUGAGCAAGGCUUUGUUCUCACCUGCGUUGCUUAUCCCACUUCUGAUGUUGUUAUUGUCACUCACAAGGAGGAGGAGCUCGUUGCUUAAAUCUUGUCAUCACUUUCCUUUCCCACUUCUGAUGAUGUAUGCUGCUUUUUCUUUUUAUGUCUUGUGCCAUUUCUCAGGAUAUACACACCCAUUAUUAUUAUUAUGCAGUAAUUGAUUACUUCACCUGUAGCAGCAGCUGAACUUGUUUUUGUCACUAUAAUAAUCUUUUCUUUACAGUUUUUGCACUCCUUUCCUCUUUCCUCGGCUUCAAUAAUUGAUUACCCUUUUAUGCAUUACAUAUAUACUAUCUAAAUUUGUGUGCUUUCUGCAUUGAUUUUCAUCCUUCUGUCACAUUGGAGUUAACAAUGAUGAGGGUAACUUGCAUCUUACCAAGAAAUAUUGAUGUUAGACUCAAAAAAAACCCACACAAGACUAAAAAAAAACACUAAAUGAUAAUUAGAACAAGUUUUUAGUUUCUUUUUAGUAUUUGUGUGAGUUUUUUUUUUUGAGAGGUUAACAUCAAUCAACGACGGUGGCUUCUUGUUCUUAACUUGGUACUGAAGAUGGUGUUAAUGUCCUGAGACUAAUUGUAUGGCCAACUUUUUUUUACUUUUGUAUCACUUAAAAGAGAUAACAUAUUUAAUUGUAUCUACAGUACAAGGUACAUUUUUCAUUCUCAACUACUUUGUGUCGGUGCCAAAACAUUGAUUUAAGAAUGAUUUCUAUAUCUAUGCCAUGAAGAGUAGUAAAACUUCAAAUAUGAAACAUAAAUGGAUGAUGUCUUCUGUAGCACAUACUUAUGCUUCUCUCCUUCGCCAUUGAAGGACAGUUUUGGGGGAGAGUGAUUGUAUUCGUCUGUAAGUCUUGAGUCAAUAUUUAACAAAGAAAUUGAGAUGAAAAUUCUGGCAAUGCUAAAAUAUCUGUUGGGUAUGGAUUCAAACCUUAAUUAGGAGCAUUGCUUCUGUGAGAAUUCUGCUGUGAACAUGGAGAUGUUACAAAAUUUAUGACCACAAAUUGGAGCUUGUCAUUCUAUCCUUCUUAACAUUUCAAAGGGUGUGGUUGACAAUGCUAUGAUUCAAUGUUUCGAUAUGGUUAUGGAUUACUUCCAAGUCAUACUCUGUUUUUUUCUCUUAUUCAGACUGGUGUCUUGACUCUUUGGUUUGUAUGAGAUUGAUUAAUUGAUGAAUUACUAUGUUGAGGUUUGUCAUGUGUUCUAUGAGUUGUUAGUUGGAGGUUUUUUGGUGUCUUGUUUUGAGAAAGGUUAAGGUUUAUUUUUCUUUAUAAAGAUUGAACUAUCCUGAAAUAGAGAUGUUAAUGUUUAUUUUUCUGUAUAAAAGUUGAACCAUUUGAAUAGUUCAUAUUUAUUUUCUUGUCGAUAAAAAAAAAUAGCAGUUAAAUACUAUACCAAAGUUUUACACAUGAAUAUACACCAAUAAAAAAAAUAAACAGUUUUUCAUUGGUCAAUUAACAAAUUAAAUAAUUAUAAAAAACAAAGGACUGCGUAAAAUGAAAUUCAACCAUGCAAUUCUGAGUGGAAGUUUUGACUGAAUAAUUCGAAAAAACUAGCAUUUUUCAAUUUAUAACCACGGUUGCAUCUCAUGUAAUAGUAAUAUUCAUAAGCAAAAGAAAUAGAAGUGCAUAACCUACUCUCUGAGAGGGCCUGGAGAGGGUGCUCUUGGAACAAAGUUUUGUAACUAUUGAAGAGCCAUUGAAAUAUGCUACUGUUCUGACCUCAAGUCAGUUGGACAGCAUCGCUAGGGUCAAUCACCGCAUCCGAGGUAUUGUCCGCUUUGAAGGUUGGUGCUCCGUCACGGUUUUGUCCUUAAAAGAUGUCUCAAAGGGUGAAGGGAGGAGGGAGUAUAUAAACUGCCCUUGACCUCGAUUCCUGAGCGAUGUAAGAUUGUAUUGGCAGCCUCGAUUGUGAAGAAUCUGUGGAGAUAACAUAGGCACACAGAAUGAAACAUGGUACAAAAUGUUUAGAUGUUCUUUUUAAGAGGAGAUCUAGUCACAACAAUGAUGGUAAAUGUUGAGUUCAUUAAAUAUAUAACAGUUUUGCAAAGAAAAGAAGGUAGCAUGUGAAGUGAAGAAGAUGAAGAAUGUUACAAAAAUGUAUGGUGAAGGGAAGAUGAAUAGACUUGGUAGCAUUCAACCUCCACAUCUUAUUGCACUUUCAAUGCAUUCAAUUACUUCCUCUACCAUAAAUCCAAUUUCAGUAUAAAAAGAUGAAAAUGUUUUUAGAUAAAAUGAAGGUAAUUAUAAAAAUACAUUUAAGAUUUACUUUUUUGGACAAAUAUCUGGAAUGAAAUUUUGAUUUUAUUUUCGAAUUUUUAUUUCUAGAACACAAUAACCUCUUCUAGAUCUAUUUUUUAAAAUAUAUUGUUUUCAAUUCUAGAUUUUUAUUUCGAGAAUGAAGGACAUUUUAAAAAAUUUAAAAUUGUGUAGGGUGCAAAUUUAAAAUGAUUGAGUGUAUGAAGAAUUUGUCUUUAUCAUAGUUCCCACUAUGUUAACCAACACAAUUGCUUGCUGAAAAUUUUCCUCACUUCGUUUUCUUUACAUUUCGACCUUAUGCAGCCUCAAACGUUAAUUUCAAAAGAAAAAUGAUAGUUUGACAACUCUUAAAGUUGUAUACAACUCUUGAUGUGAUAGGUUUAGAAAUAAAUAUAUAUAAUAAAGGAUAAAUUUAUAAUUAAAUGAUAUAAAAAAGUAUUAAAAAUAAUAGUAUUGGAAGUUGUAAUGUGGUUGUAUAAAAAUUUGAAGUUGUUAAUGUAUCAUUACCCAUUUCAAGAAUACAACUUAAACUCAAAAUUACAAAUAAUGGCAUUACAUUAUGCACCCCAUAGUUUCCCAUAAUUUGAAGGUGCAACCAUGGGCAAGAUAAAAAGACAAAAGUAUCCCUACUUUGGAUUUAUAAAAUGCAUAUUAUACACUCUACAAUUCGAAAUGCAUUUUCAAAUUUGGAAAUAUAUUUCUGAAUUUUGCAUUGUUGAAUGUAUUUUUAGAUUCAAAAAUAUAUUUUUGAUAAUUCAAAAUGCAUAUUUUAUUUUGUAUUAUGAAAUACAUUAAUACUAAAAAUAAGGGAAGUUUGAAAAUUUAAAAUCUAUGGAGGUGUAUGCUAAAAUUAUGGGUUAGCCUACAAAUAAUGGGCCAUUGGAUCCGGGUUGCUUCUUCCUGCACCUCCAUACCUUCUUCUCUCACCUCCAUAGAUUUUCGUAUUUCCAAAACUGCUCUUCUGUAAUAUUUCGGAUUACAUAAUUCGGAAGUUAUUUUUCAAAUUUGUAAUUAGCUUUCGGAUUAUAUAAUCUGAAAGUCUUUUUUCAGAUGCAUGAUUACUUUCCGGAUUACAUAAUCUGGAAGUUUUUUUUAACUUCUGGAUUAUGUAAUCCAGAAGUCUUUUUUCAAAUGUGUUUCCGGAUUACAUAAUCCAGAAGUUAUUUUAUGGGGGUGGCACAAGAAGGAUAAAAAUGUAUUUUUCAUGUUGUGUAUGGAGGUGCCAGAAGAAGAUAUGGAGGUGCAGGAAGAAACAGUCUUGGAUCCGAGUCAAACUUUUUAUCUAUACUUUAUUAUAAGGGCUUUUUCUUCUUACACUUCUUAAUUAAUAAUUGCAUCUCAUACUAUGACAAAAAGGCCAAAAUACCCUCCAUUGCUCCACCAUGUCGUCGUCGUUGCAGCUCUAUCUACACUUCCAUGACGAGUUUUUAAUAUCUUUUAGAUUAAAAAUAAUAUAUGAUUUAUAUUCAUUACCACUUGCAUUAAUUUAUAUGUAAGAUUAAUGUUAACUUAAAUAAAUAUUAAAAAGAUAUUAUAUUAAUAUUAAUAAUUACGAAAUUUAAAAAUUAGAACGUAUUUAAUAUUAUUAGUGUUGGUUAAGUUAACUUUAAUGUCUUUCUUUAAAAUAUUAUUAUUACUAAAAAAAUAUAUUUAAUAUUAUUAGAGUCGAUCUUAAUAUUUUUUUAACAUAUUUUUCAUUACUAAAAUAUAUUUGAUAUUAUUAUAGUCGGUUAUCUUUAUUUUAGUAUUAAAAUAUAUUUAGUAUUAUUAGUAAAUUGUCUGUGUUUACCAAGUAUUAACAAAAGUAUGAAAUAUAAAAAAAAAAUGCGAUAUAUAAUUAAAAGAAUAUUUACAGGUUUUUAUUGUUAAUUAAAAAUCAAAACCUUCUUAAAUCACUUCCCAACAAGAGAUCUUACAAAGGACUGUUUCUUCCUGCACCUCCAUGCCUUCUUCUCUCACCUCCAUAUAUUUUCAAAUUUCCAAAAAUGCCCUUCUAUACUAUUUUGAAUUACGUAAUCCGGAAGUCAUUUUUUAAAUUUGUAAUUAGUUUCUGGAUUACAUAAUCUAGAAGUCUUUUUUCAUAUGCAUGAUUAAUUUUCGAAUUACAUAAUCCGAAAGUCUUAUUUAGCUUCCAGAUUAUAUAAUCUGGAAGUUUUUUUUCAAAUGAAUUUCUGGAUUACAUAAUCCGAAAACUACUAUAUGGGGGUGACAUAAGAAGAAUAAAAAUAUAUUUUCAUGUUAUGUAUGGAAGUGGCAGAAGAAAAGAAGAUAUGGAGGUGAGAAACAGUCCUUACAAAGACUUUCAACACACUCUAUUCCAAUUACAUAUGCACCGUACACGUGGCGCUACUUUCACAACAGUCACAGAUGAAUGUGUAAGAAAUAUCUUGCACAGGAUAAAUCUUAACCACUCAUCAUAGUCUCCUCUUAUUAAAACGUGUUACAUGUGUUUUUAUUAAGGAAAAUGAUUGCUUAACACUCACUUCAUCUAAUCCCACUAAAUAUUAAUAUUUUAAUUUUUUUAAUUUUUUAAUUUUAAUUUUUUUUAACAUUUUAUAUUUUUAUUAAAGACAUUCCUUUAUUUUUAUAAUUUAUUUUAUUAUAAAUAUUAAUAUUUUAUUGCAGUGGAAAUUGGAGUAAGGUGUCUACGAAUAAUACGGAGACACGUGGCAGAUAAGGUUGUACGUGACUUCACAUCAUUUUGUGAUCAGACAAUGCUAGUUCAAAAAGCUCCUUGGUUUGGCUUAUCUAUAAAACAGAAGAAGAAGAAGAAGAAGCAGCAGAAGAAGAAGAAGAAGAAGAAGAAGAGGAGGAGAAUGGCGUGUAUGACAGUAGCUAUGUGUGGCCCUGCCUUGAACACCUCCUUCCUUAGGAGACAUGCAGUGAGUCUGAAUGCAUUCCCCAAGGCCAAUGCAGUGUUUGGUGUGAAAGGAGGAGGUGGAGGUCGUGUCACUGCCAUGGCUAAACACAAGGUGAAGCUUAUCACCCCAGAGGGUGAAAAAACCUUUGUCUGCUCAGAUGAAACCUUCAUUCUUGAUGCUGCAGAAGAAGUAGGCCUUGACCUUCCCUACUCAUGCAGGGCUGGUGCCUGCUCUUCCUGUCUUGGCAAAGUUGUGAAUGGCCAAGUGGACCAGUCAGAGGGUAGCUACCUAGAUGACGAUCAAAUCGAUCAAGGAUAUGUUCUUACAUGUAUUGCUUACCCCACCUCUGAUGUUGUUAUCCAGACCCACAAGGAGGACGAACUCGUUGGAUAAAUCUCCCUUUCCCACCAUUUUCUUAGAAUAUGCUUCUUUUGUUUCAAAUGUGAUGGAGGAGGAAGAUUGUUAUUGCAUGAUCAAGGUAUUUUAGUUUUGUUUUAUGCUGUUAGUUAGACUAUAGAGAAUGAACUCCACCUUCAGAAUCUCAUCAAACUUUUUAUUAUGUGUUGGUUAUUGGUUCAGGGAAUUUGUAGUCACUGUAGUAAUGUUUUCCUUGUUGGUUGAGUUAAGAACUCUGAUGUUAGUUGCUUGUUCUGAAUUCAUGCUGAUCUUAAUGGUGACUUUGAUUCUUAUCUGCACCAUUUUAGAUCUUUUGGGUUGUUGGAAGCUAAGAGUCAUGCACAAUGGAGGGUCUAACUACACCUAAAAUUCAUAUAAGAUUAGAAAAUAAGUUAGUUUACAAACUCAAAUUCUACUCUGAUUCUGAGAAGAGUUUCUGAGGCAUUAUAUGAUAUAAAACAUUACAAUUGAUUUCUCUGUCUGAAUAAAAGAAAUUAUUUGAUAGUAAACAAAUAGGAUUAAACUGUAUUAACUUUAAGUUUAAUUCAACUUCAUAAAAUCGAUUUAUGAGGUGAGAUUUUAUAAGGUGAGGUAUCGAAAAUGAUUAUGAUACUAUAUUAAAGAGUGGACAUUAAAGAGCGAACUUCAAGCUUAACUCAACUUUUCGCUUCCACUUAUAAAGAAUGAAAUGUACUGUUGUUGGAGAUCUCUACUUGAAGAUGCUGGCUUAUGGUUUGAAGCCAUUUCUCUGAUGUAGUUAAAGAAAUUUAGUAUAAGGUAAUAAGAUAGAAGAAGAAAGCUAGGAUUGUCACACUUCAUUCAUUCAUCAAACACAGGAGAUGGAAAUGAGUUUUUAGAUUGAGUUGUCUCCUUUUAAGAAAGAUGUUUUCAUUUUGCAGUAAAAAUGUCCCACAAAUUUUUCAAGAAUUUUACACAAGGACUACUGUGUGAUCAAUACAAAGAAACAGUUUUUAUGGGCUAAUUACUGAAUCAAACAUGGUACAAAAUGUUUAGAUGUUCUUUUUAAGAGGAGAUCUAGUGGCAACAAUGAUGGUGAAUAUUGAGUUCAUUAAAUAUAUAACAGUUUUGCAAAGAAAAGAAAGUAGCAUGUGAAGUGAAGAAGAUGAAUGCUACAUAAAUGUAUGGUGAAGGGAAAGAUGAAUAGGCUUGGUAGCAUUCAACCUCCACAUGUUAUUGCACUUUAUUGGAUGAAUCUUUUGCAUUCAAUCCAUUAAUUGCAGGCAAUUACUUCCUCCAACUAAUUUCAGUAUGAAAAGACGAAAAUAUUCUUAGAUAAAAUGAAGGUAUAUAUAAAAAUACAUUUCGGAUUCACUUUUUUAGAAAGAACAAAUUUUUUGUAUUAGGGAUUUUUUUUAUCUGUAACGAAAUUUUGAUUUUAUAUUUUCGGAUUUUAUUUUUGGAGCACAAUAAUCUUUUCUGGAUUAUUUUUUCAGAAUACAUCGUUUUUAAUUCUGGAAUUUUAUUUUCAGAACAAAGGAUAUUUUCAAAAUUUUAAAUUUGUAUAGGGUAUAAGUUAAAAAUGAUUGAGUGUAUGAAGAAUUGGGCUUAAUUGUAUCACAGUUCCCACUAUGUUAACCAACACAAUUGCUUGCUGAAAAUUGUAUCAUAGUUUGAACACAAUUCACAAUUCCAAAUCCUAAAUCCUAAACCAACACAAUUCACAAUUCUAAAUGUAUUUUCAAAUUUGGAAAUAUAUUCUGAAUUAUACAAAAUAAAAUAAAAUAGAUUAAUGUAUUAUGAAUUAUGCAAUUGAAUGUAUUUCUAGAUUCAAAAAUAUAUUUUAAGAAUUCAAAAUGCAUAUUUUAUUUGGUAUUAUGAAAUACAUUCUAGAAUACUAAAAAUAAACAUCCUAAACUAUGGAGGUGCAGGCUAAAAUUACGGGUUAGCCUAUAAAUAAAUAAUGGGCCAUUGGAUCCAAGUCAAAAUUUUAUUUAUACUUUAUUAUAAGGGCUUUUUCUUCUUACACUUCUUAAUUAAUAAUUGCAUCCCAUACUAAGACAAAAAAGGGAGAUAAUUAUUUCAGAAAACUCGUCAUGAAAAUUAUUAUAUAUGUUUUCGAAAUCUUUGUUCCAUAAAUCCUGUUACAGGAUGUUCGGGAAAGUUUAUUUUUGGAAAAAGUUUAUUCCAAAAUACAUUUUAUAUACUAUUAUGAAUGUGAAUAUUUAUUGUUUAAAUCAUAAGGUUUUAGAUUAAAAAUAAUAUAUGAUUUAUAUUCAUUAUUACUUGCAUUAAUUUAUAUGUAAGAUUAAUAUUAACUUAAACAAAUAUUAAAAAUAUAUUAUAUUAACAUUAGGGAUUACGAAAUUUAAAAAUUAAAACAUAUUUAAUAUUAUUAUAAUUGGUUAAGUUAACUUUAAUAUUUUUCUUUAAAAUAUUAUUAUUAUUAAAAAUAUAUUUGAUAUUAUUAUAGUCGGGUCAAGUAUAAUAUCUUUAUUUUAGUAUUAAAAUAUAUUUAAUAUUAUUAGUAAAUUGUUUGUGUUUAACAAGUAUUAAAAAAAAUAUAAAAUAUAAAAAAAUGCGAUAUUAAAUAACGUGUUACAGACGUAUUACACACCGAUACUCUCGUAGGAUGUCUCUCAUUCAAGUGUCAAAUUCAAAAAAUAUUUGUUGAAUUUCUAACAAUUCUAGCAUGAUUUUAACACAAUUUUUUUAAAAAUAUAAUUUUUUAAAAAUUUAAACUUAUUAUAUAAAUUUUUAUUGUAAUUAUAAAAAUAAAAACCAAAUACUUUUGAAUGAGCUAUGAAAAAAACAUGUUUUUUUAAAAUAAAAAUAAAAAUAAUUGUACAUAUAAAUAUUUAUUAAUAAAUAGGUUAUCGAGGUUUCAUUCUUAGAUGGUAACACCUUAAAUAUGUUGCAAAUAAUGAAAUUUGACAAGUUAUAAUUUUGUAAAUAAGAAAUAAAUUAAAAAAGAAAAUUAAAUUUAUAAUAAAUCUUACACACACAAAAAAUAGUGAAUAUAAUGAGAGAUAGAAUGAUGCCACGUGGCAGAUAGGGUUGCAUGUGGCCUUACCUCAUGCACGUUAUAAGCACACUAUUUCUUCAAGCUCAUGCUCCCAUUUGUUAUCCAUCACCAACAACAACAACAACAAGCUUGCAGUGACCAAUGGCUUCGAUCACACCCGCUUCCUGUGGCUCUGUGUUGAACACCUCCUUCCUCAGGAAGCAGCCUCUGAACCACACAAGCCUCAAGGCAUUCUCCAAUGCUAAUGCUGUCUUUGGUGUGAAAGGAGGACGUGGAGGUCGUGUGACAGCCAUGGCCAGCUACAAGGUGAAGCUUGUGACCCCAAGUGGAGAGCAAGAGUUCAGUUGCCCAGAUGAUGCAUACAUUCUUGAUGCUGCAGAGGAAGAAGGCAUUGACCUUCCUUACUCAUGCAGGGCUGGUUCUUGCUCUUCAUGUGCUGGCAAAGUUGUGGGUGGCCAAGUGGACCAGUCUGAUGGUAACUUCCUUGAUGACGACCAAAUUGAACAAGGCUUUGUUCUCACCUGUGUUGCUUAUCCCACUUCUGAUGUUGUUAUUGUCACCCACAAGGAGGAGGAGCUCGUUGCUUAAAUCUUAUCAUCACUUUUGUUAUUAACAUUCUAUUCUUCUGGUUUUUCUUUGACGAGUGUAAGAAAUUUAUACGUUUGUGUUAGCUGUAUAUGUGGUUCUGUUGGAUUCCUCGUAUAUGUUUUUUAUGUUUUUUGGACUUAUAGUUUCUCUUACUUUGCGUAAGAGAUUAUGAGUCUUGUUAGGAUUGGAAAGUGCAACAAUUGAAGUUUGUUUUUAUAUCUUAGUGCCAUUUUUCAGGAUAUAAACGUGUGUUGUGCUUGUUCAUGAACAACUUAUUCUGCAUUAACUCGUUAAUUACUUCACCUCUCUGGUGAUAUGUAUCAAAUAUUUAUAAAAAUACACUGGUUUUUGUCAUGCACAUUAGUGAAUUAUACUAAUAUUUCGAGCAGUUAGAGUUCCGAUAUGCUAAAAUUUGUUAACCUUCAUAUAUAUUAAAAAGAUAGAUGAUAUAUCUAAUAUUGUAUCUGAAUGAUUUAAAUGUCUAUGCUCAUUUAAGAAUGAUUUGUACAUCUAUGCUCUAUGAAGUUCCAACUAGUUCUGAAGUAAAAUAAAACACUAAUGAAUCAUGUUUUCUGAAACAAAUCAAGAAGAGUGAUAGCUUUUGCUUUGAUCUUCAACGUUGUGGGGAAUUAGUAUAUACAGAUUCAGACAAAUAUUCAGCUACCUUGAAUGUUUUGCCUUGUUGGGGGUCUCCAACUUCAGCUGUUCUACUGAACUCACUGUUAUCUGAUUCAAAGACCCUAAAGAAGAGGAUCGAGUUAGAGUCCCAGAUGCUACUGUCAUUUCGUCCCUCUCAUCAAUUGUUGAUUCCAGGGAGCAUACUGAUCUUGCAGUGUGUGAAUGCAACGAAUCAUGCUUAGACUUGUGUUUCACUCUUUUACACCAACUAUGCAGAGACUCUCUAACACUCUCUGUCACCAAGGCCUUCUUGCAUUUCGAUCCCAUCUGAGGCCAAUCAUCAAAUAAAUUUACUUUCAUCACGUUUUCGUUAGAACACUUUGUUAAGAACUUAACAAUGAGCAUUAAGCCAACCUGAGAAACUAUUAUGCUCAGGGGCACUGUCAUGUAGCUACACCAGAACUGAACAAUAGCACUGCAAGUUUCAAAAUAACGAAAUGUGAGUCUUCCUGGUGGAAAAAUCGAACUAAUUCUCUCUCAGGUGUAGAUACAAAAUUGACUCUUGCGAAAGCAAUAAGCAAAUAAAAGAAAAAUAGAAAAAUAGAAAUGAGAGAAUAGAUAUCGAAAUCCUAGUCAGAUGUUAGAGAGAAAUUAGAUGAGAUUGAAUGUUAUCCUCACUGAGAAAAAUAAAUAUUGUAAUUCUAGUUUUAUAGUGAAAAUAUUUUCUAGAUUAGAUAUAGUAGAUUUUACUUCUUAAGUGGAGGAAGUUUUCUUAAGUUAAAAGAUUGGAGUAGUGUAAAAUCCAGAAAGUUGGUAAAGAAAGUAGAACAAAAAAAUCUUGAAAGAGAGACGACACCAACCCAGAUGCCAACCGAAUGAUGAUCAUGUAAUGAUUUCUCAUGAAGCACGAUUGUUCUUGGAAUCCCCACUACAAAAACAGAAAUUGAAGAUAAUUCAUUGAACAAAAGCAAGUCAUAAGUCACGUAUACAAUCUUGAAAAACUGAAGUCUUACCAAUGUCCAAAUAAACGUUGCCAUUUCAAAUGCAUUCUGCAUGAACAGUGGAGAAAAUAAGAACAGAAAACACAACCAUGCAGCAUGACCUACUUACAAAUAAAGUGUUAUCGAUUCUUACCUGAAAUAUGACAAACUGUAUCAGCCAUAACAGUAUAUCUGGUUUUUUAAACCAGAAUAGAUCAUCGCGUGGCUUUACUUGUGUCCUAGGAAACGGACCUGUCUGCUCCAUAAUUUCAAGUGCUAAGGUGGAUACAACAUGUUGAAGCUUUGCCCCUAUCAACAUCACAAGCUUUUACGUGUAGAGAAAUCAGACCUUGAUGGAAAUAACUUUCAAUGGACUUUUUCAUUUUGAUUUGUUAAAACAACAAAUUAGAAUAUACAUACAAUUGCAGGGAUAAAUGAUAGCCAGAAGUAUAUAUUCAGACCUGCAAAUUUAGAAACUUAAAUAUCUGAAGAAAUUAAUUUUAAAGACACUAACAAUAUACUAUGAUUCUGAAGAGAAGCUACCGUGGAUGUUCACGAAGAUGCACACUAUGGCAUAAAUCCAAAGCAGCCAGCUGCAAAAUUGAAAAAAAAGGGUUAUUCAGCUGUUAGUUUUCUCAUUGUUUUUCUUAGUAGAAGUCUAAUGUUGAUUAGAAAAAACAUUUGUAUUGGAAACUUCAUUUCCCAUCACUCAAUUCCCUAUGCUAAUCAUGAUUCACGAGCAUGCUAUGUUAGUUAAUUAAGCAACUUACAGUUAAUAACUUGCAUCGGUUUUCAGAAACACCAGUUAAAAGAAGAAAUCCAUUUCAAAAUGGUUCUUACCUUAUUCCUAGAAUGCCAUGAAAUUCAUCUUCCAUGCUUCGAACCAUAUAUUGAUGGAAAUUAUAAGAUAACGGCAAAUUGUGUUCCUGUAAAUUUGUGAAUACGAAAAUUACUUCGAUUUAGAAGAAUCAAAUAAAAGAUUAGGCAAUCAGGGAACAAUAGUGGACCAACAAGUCUCCAGCAUGCAUUAUUUUAUCCAACAUCCUUCAACAGAUAAGAAACUUACAGUGAUGAAACCUAAACGUAGUGCAAGGUAAUCUGAUUUUCGUAUAGAGCUCCUAAACUGACGUAGGAAACAGAGCUGCAAGAUCAGAUCACAAACAUUAAUCCAUUAUAUUCAAACUGUGCACAAGGAUGACACCAAAAACAUUUAGAAACUAGGAGUUGCUAGAAAGAUGUUUAGAUGGGUGAGUUGCUAGAGAAAUUAUGCAUCAAAAGGCCAUCCCAGUAAAAGCAGCACACAAAUAAUUAAGGAUGUGCCAUUUAUGUUGAAAUGUUACCAUCCAGUUUAGGAUUGGACUCCUGCUCCAUGGAUGAGAAGUGCGAUGGAAAAUAAAUGUUGUCUGUCGCUUCAUCAACUUGAUUUUCUUUGCUGUUUAACAAAAAUUAAUAAAAAGUUUAGGACAUAGAUUAAUCUGUUCUAUUCAAUGCAGAAGUGUUUGUCAGAUUUCAUUCAUGAUAUGAUGUCACAUUUUAAGACCAAUCGUUAUGAAGUAACCAUUCUAUGCCAUUUACCUUGCUGGUUUCCAUCACUUGGCAUCCUAGCCUGAUUUUCCCAUCUGCGCCAACUAUAGAUCUACAAACACUUGCAACAAAGAUAAAAUAAAUGAUAUGAACCAGACUACCAAACAUAGAAAACAACAGCAAUGAAGACAACUCCAAGUGAUCGAUUGGAACAAGGAUCCCUUAAACAAAGACACUAAUUUAACCAUUGGCAUUACUGGUUAGAAGAGCAUGAUGUUGCUAAAACACCUCUGGGGUUGAUGUUGUACAUGUAGUAAACUGAAAAUUAUGAUGACUUACCUUACUCAUUGCCAAACCAACUGCCAGACAACUAUACAAAACAUGAGUGAUUCCGAGAACAAAUAAGAACCGGUGCAGCUGCUCAAGACCUUCAUAUGAAACAAAAGGUUCAUGACCCUGCAUUCAUGUAUUAGUAUUUUUGGAAGGGCUAUGCAGUAUUGCAAAGAAACAAAGAUUUAAUAUUAAGUAUGACAUUGACACUAUAUGCAAGAUAUUUAGUGGCUAACAUUAUACUCACUGCAGUGAAGAAAGCAAAGCUUAAAUGUAGUUGUAAUUAGUGUAUGUUACCUCUCCACAUUGGUUGAAUGCUCCAGUAAUACUAGUUUCAUCAGGGAUAGAUGAUGAUGAGCUUUCCAGCAUGAUAUUCUCAUUUAUGUCCACGUCUUGCUCAGAACAAAUAUAAAAUCGACUGCUAAAAAGUGACGAAGUCACACAAAUUUCAGAGAUCCAUCUUGCACUUUGUGCCAACAGCAAAGAGAUAAGUCCAAGCAACAUCAGCUCUAUCACAAAAGAAAAAACAGAUACUAAUCUUUAAGUCUAAGUCAAUCUCGUAAAACUGGUUUAUAAGAUAGGUUUACACCCAAAUAUAUAAUAUAAAAUAUUCUAAUCUCCGGUUAAUAUGACAUUUACAACAGUAACUCAAGAACAUAAGGCAUAAUGGAAAUGUGAAAUAAUACUCAGUGUCACUACCUUCCUUGAGUUUCUCCAGUGAAGCAAAAAGUGCCUUCCUUCUUGUUUUCUUCAACCACUGCACAACAAGAAAAAAAAGUUUCAUUUCUACUUAUCAUGGGAAGUAGCAACCCAGAAAGUAACCAGUGAAAAGGGUGAUUUGUUCACUCUACAGUGUACUACUACACAUAAAUUUGCAGUGUUUACCUCUCCAAAGCGGUAGAUUGAACGUUCAACCAAUAAGCAGACAAAGACCAUGACAGCAACAACAGAGGCAACUGAAUAUGUUGGUGUCUCAGCCAGAGAGCGACCUCGCUGCAGCACCUCUGCCAUUGUUCACUUCAAAGCAACAAGUUGAAGUCUUUUUCAUGGGAAAAACAUAGUUCCUUGAUUCCACAUAAAUGGAGCCAGAUGGGAUCCAGGGAAUGGGGAAGUGCAGUGCAAAACGGAAGUGUAUCUUAGUUUAAUAAUUAUUUGGUGAAGAAGGUGCAUGUGCACAUUGGAAACUUCACUCACCUUACACAAAAAACUUCAUUAUUUAUUUAAUCUUUAGUUGUUGGUUUAUAUAUAUGUUUUAUGUUAUUUUGGAUUUUGAUAUGUUACUAUACUUUAACCAAAAUAUUCAUAUUUGUUUAUUCUUUUUUGGUGAUAAAAAAAGUUAAUUAUUAUUUUCUGAGGCCACACAACCUUGUUCACUUUCCAGUGUCGUGCUUUUUCCUCUCUCCAAAUCGAAAAGCAUGCACAUGGAGGGUUUCCCAGUCUCCCAGGUAAGUUGCUAAUAAUUUGUAAGUUGGAAGGGUCCCAAUAGAAACCUGGUAUAUUCUAUGCAUGUGGAUGCUGAUACGAUCAAUAUCAAUUCCCAACAAAUCAAACUACAAAAGGAAACAGAAAAUACUAACAGAAAAUAAUAAAAGAACUUUGAUAUAUAAUAUGAUGAGAUAAAGAGGAAUAAGAUACAUUAAUUUGGUAUUUAUAUCAUCAGUUAAAUAUAAGUUAAAUAUAUUUUUCGUUUUUUCUUUUAACAUGAAAUUGGUUUUAAUUCUUGUUCUAAACUUUAGAUUAUCCAGUUAUUUAUAAUAUAGAAAUUAUAGAAAUGAGUUAUUGUAUACGUGAAAUAAUUACAAGUUUUUUCAAGAUUUGUUGAUGUUUUGAUUGUAAAUACUUACUAAAAUUGUUUUUAAUGGUUGAUGAAUUUCAAAUUGAAACAAUUGUAUAUAUUAAAUGAUCUAUUUCAAUCAUUUUUAUACUACAAACAACUGGAUGAUAUAAAAUUUGAACCAGGAACGAAAAUCAGUUGAAGAGACCAAAACCAAUUUCGUGUCUUAGAAUUUAAGGUUUAGUACAUGGACGUUAAAAUCUUCAAGAUUUUGUUUUUAGAGUGGUGUUUAAUUUUUUAAAUAAACUCUUAUUAAGGUUUGAUUCUCAAAAUGAUAGAAAAAAACUCAUCAGAACAAAUAAUCACUAUUAAGCAUGAUUUUCAAAUGAGUAUUAUUCGUUGAAAAAAUGCAUAUAUACUUCACACUUUAUUGAGUUAUUCAUUUAUUUUAAGAUAAUUUUAUGUUUGAAAACAAAUGAUAAUCUAUCAUGAAUAUUAGUUUCUUAUGUUUUUUAUAUAUUUUAAAACAAAUAUAGGAUAUUAAUUUUUUUGAGUCAUAUUUUAAAUAUUUUAAAAAUAAAUUAUUAACAAUUAAAAGUUACUUUUGAUCACAAUAUAACUAUUUACUAUACAGAUAAAAUAUAAUUUGAAUCUAACUUUCUUGAAUUGAAAAGUUCAAAUAAUGUAAAAGACUAUAAUGUCUUAAUCAUCUUGUCUUAUUGAAUAUAAAUAUAUCAAGUGUUGAAAAAUAAAUGAGGCGUGGAUCUAAUUUUUAUAAACUUAAAGAAAAGUUGUAAUGGUGUAAAAAUACUACAAUAGAUUUAUUUUCUUAUUUUAUAUAUCUAUAAAAUAUAAAAAAAUAAUAAUCUUUAUGGACAAAAGUUGUGAGAUUAUCUUACUUUUAAGCUAAAUGCUUAGAUAAUAAUUUUAUUUAAUAAAUACUUUCAUUUUAAUUAUACAAGUUUAUAAAUUGUAUAAAUACAAUUAUUAAUAGUUUAGUGAUUUGAUGAUAAAAUACUUAAACCUUUGUAAAUAGGAUUUAAAAAUUUGAAUUUAAUCUUUUGGUGAUAUUAGUAAUCCAUUGUGAUGUUAGUAUCAAAUAGUGACACAUGUUAGAAUAAACUAUCCACAGUGUACACAUGUCCUAUUAGGUUAACACAAUCUUUUUUUUAAGUGUAAUUUAAUUGAACUAUUUAUUUUAUUUAGACUUACUUAUUAAAAUUGUUUUAAAGAGAUUAAUUUUAAUUCGUGUUAUGGUUUGAGUAUUAUUUAAAAAAAAAAAAUUGUGCUUUAAGUACUCUUAGUGUAAUUUAUUUGAGUUAUAUUUUUAAAGUGAUUUUUGGAUAAUUCAAUUUAAAAAUACACAAAUAUUUAUUUUAAAAUAUAUCUAUAAAUAUUCAUAAAUACCCGCGAUUAUUUUUCUCUCAUAACCUAUGUAGCCUAGACACUAACACACAGACAUUGAUUCGACAUGUACACGAAUAUAUGUAUAAUAUUUAAAAUGUAGGACACAAAUUUAUAUAUUAUAUAAUUAUAAAUUAUAUAAAUUGAUAAUAAAGAUUUAUGUUUAUGUGCACAAGUAUGUUUUAAUUUUUUUAGAAAAAAUAUGUUUUUUUUAUGUCUAGUUAAAAAAAUUGUUUUUUUAUUUUUAUAAUCAUAAUAAAAAUUUAUAUAAUAAGUUUGAAUUUUUAAAAAAUUAAUAUUUUUUUAAAAAAAUUGCGUUAGAGUCGUGCUAUAAUUGUCAGAAAUGCAAUAAAUAUUUUUUUAAGUAGACACUUCACUCAUACAUAUCUUACGAGAUGUCCAAUAUAUAUAUUCGACACGAAAAUAUUAUUUAAGAGUGAUUUCCAAACCUUAGGUCAAAACUCAACAAAUGGAUAAUAUAUUUUUUAUUUUUUAUUUUUCUUACAAUUGUUUUUUUUUUUAGUAUUUGUUGUUCUAUCAAUACACAUAUUACUAAUUUUUGUAUAGUUAAAUAUGGGAUUUUUAAGGACAACCUUGUUAUAUUUAUUCAGGGAAAGUCACAUAUAAUAUAAUACUUUAUCUAAAUUUCCUUACUACACUUAUUUCUUUGUUAUAUUAUUGCUUCAAAUUUUAAAUAUCAAUAAGAGAAAAUAUUAUUAUUUUAUUAAUUAUAAAAGAAUACUUUAUAUAUUACAUGUAAGAAAAAAAUUGAAAGAAAAGGGGGUUGCAUAACCAUUCAUACCAUUUAUUCCGUUCCUUAAACCAUUGAAAUUGAGCCUCAAAUAUUAGAAGAAAGAGAUUCCUAAAACCCUAAUCUUCCAAAACCCUACACUCUCUCAUGGCGUCGUCGUUAAUUCGCCUCCGCCGAACCCUCAGAGCACUCUCCGGCGUCACCCACUCCAUCUCCGCCGCGCAUGCGUCGUCCAUUUCGGCCCCUAUCAGGUGCGCCGUUCCAUGGAGUUCCCACUCUCCGAAGGGUGUGGUUCAGUCCCGUUCUUUCAGGUCAUCAUCAGCUUCUUUUCUCUCUGUUAGAUCCUCGCAGAGCAACAUCCCCGACGAGAUUGGUCCCGAUACCAUUCUCUUCGAGGGCUGCGACUACAACCACUGGCUCUUCGUCAUGGACUUCCCCCGAGACAACAAACCCUCUCCCGAAGACAUGGUUCGCGCUUAUGAGGAAACUUGUGCCAAAGGCCUCAACAUCAGGUUCCUCACUUCAUCUCUCGUACAACUCUUCCUAUCACAAUGUUUUGAUUAUAACUCGUUCGCAUACACCAAAAAUAAGUUAGAUUAUGAAAAAAAUAUCGAUGAGUGCGAGCAACACACUCUAUUAUCGAUAACUGCAAAAUCAUGUGUGGAGGUCGUUGAUUAAAAUUAGAAACAGUGAAAUUUUGUGAUUUUCAGCCAAUUUUAGUUGAGAGCGUGUUGAUGUGUUGGUACUGGUGGUCUUUACUUGAAUAUUUGGGUUUUUUUUCAGUGUGGAAGAGGCGAAGAAGAAGAUAUAUGCGUGCAGUACAACAACUUACACAGGCUUUCAGGCAGUCAUGACCGAAGAAGAGUCUAAAAAAUUUGAAGGUAUUUGUUCCUGCUUCUCACUCUCGAAUUCCAUGAUCAUGUCGAGAAAAUAUAAUUUGGUGUUUGAUUUGUUGCAUCUUAACAGGUCUUCCUGGAGUCAUCUUUGUGCUACCAGAUUCCUAUAUUGAUCCAGUGAACAAGCAGUACGGGGGUAUGGUUAUUUUUUUCUUUUCAGAAGUUUGAUUGGAUUUAUUCAUUACUUGUUCAAAUUUCAGUAUUUGCUAUAUCAUGUGCACUUCAACAGUUUGCUACCCUUUUGAUUACAAGAAUGUUUCUGAAAUAAAGUUUUCGUGGUUGAUAAAUAGGAGAUCAGUACAUUGAUGGAACUAUUAUCCCUCGACCUCCACCAGUACAGUAUGGGAGAAAUCAAGGAAGACGAGACCGGAAUAGGAGUCCUGGUCAGUACAACCGACAAGAGAAUCCCUCUUAUAAUAGUCAGGAGUCCAUGCAUGGGGAUGGAAGGAACUAUGGACCUUCACAAAAUUAUCCACCCUCACAGAACUAUGGUCAAGCAUCACAGAAUUAUCCACCUCAGCAGAACUAUGGUCAAUCAUCACAGAAUUAUCCGCCUCAGCAGAACUAUGGCCAAGCAUCUCAGAAUUAUCCACCCCAACAGAAAUAUGGCCAGACCUCACAGAACAAUCCUUCCCAACAAAGUUAUGGCCAGACAUCACAGAACAAUCCUUCCCAACCAAAUUAUGGCCAGACAUCACAGAACAAUCCUCCCCAACAAAAUUAUGGCCAGACAUCACAGAACAAUCCUCCCCAGCCAAAUUAUGGUCAAUCAUCUCAGAAUUAUCCACCACAACAGAGAUAUGGCCAGACAUCACAGAACUAUUCUCCCCAACAAAAUUAUGGCCAAGCAUCACACAAUUAUCCACCCCAACAGAAUUAUGGUCAGGCAUCACGCAAUUUUCCACCCCAACAAAAUUACGGUCAGACACCACAAAAUUAUCCACCCCAGGAGAACUUUAAUCAAGCAUCGCAGAAUUAUCCACCUCAUGCUCAGCAGCAGGGCUUUGGACCUCCAGGACAAGGGGAAAGGAGUUAUAUGCCACAGCAGAACUUUGGACGACCGGGACAAGGGGAAAGAAGAGAUACUGUGCCUAGGCAUGGUGCUUCAGAUGUGAGGGAUGAUACUUUUAUACCGUCAUACAUGAAGGAAUUUGAACAGGCUGAGCAGCAGGGGAAUCAACCUUCUGGCCGAGGCAAUUUUACUGGAGAGGUAUUGUAGAGAACCAAAAUUGAGUACAUUCAAGUUUCUGAGUCAAAUUAGUCAGAAUAGAGAUUAAAACUGAUGUUAAUAUUUAGUUCAAUAUAUUUUAUUGCGGGUCUGUAUUCGUUGAGGCUAGAUCUUUGCUAUUGGAAAAAAUUUCAACUUUGUCUCUAUCAAUACAAAAGAUAACUUGCUUUUGUUAUUUUUUGCAGGGAAGAUAUUGAGAGUAGUCGGAGACAUGUGGGCGGCUUGUAUUAAAGUACUAAUCACAUUCUAAGCUGAUUUGCAUGUCCUUUCCAUUUGGUGGAAUAUUGAUUUAUUGAGCUGUCGGUGUGUAUCGAUUAACUUUUAGUUCAUGCACUGCUGUGACAAAGUUGGAUGUGGUAUGUAAUUUAGUACUGGCUGCUACCUUGUUUUUUGAACAUGGUUGAACUCUGAAUUUCACGUGGUACUUUGCUCUCUUACUCCUCUUUCUCGUUCUCAUUGUGACGAACGAAACAGUUAAUAAUUGUGAAUUUGCUCUGUAUCAUGUGGCAAAUUGGUCAGUUUCCAUAGGCAGCCUAGUGCCAUAGCCCACACCCAACGUCCAUGUCUUACUCUUUUGUUUGAUAUCUUAAUUUGGCAUAUAUUUCAAGUUUUGGAAGAUCUAAUUCUUCUGAUGAUAAAAGUUGUUAGUGAGAAGUGCGGUUGAAGCAAAGAAGAAAAGGAUUAUUGUGCUAAUGACUGAGAAUAGUGGGCAUUAAAACAUAUUCAAAGAAUGUUCUUGGUCUGGCUUCAAUGUGUCUGAGGCUCCCAAGGAAAAUCAGACUUCUAUUAUCAGUGGCAGUUUUGAGGCUUAAGCUGAAAUGACAUGGAUAUAUGAACUCCUUCCACGUAUAAUCACUGAAUUCUAAUGCUUCUUUACACGAACAACAAUAAAUAUUAUUCUUAACAUCAAUUUUAGUAAAACAAUAUCACUCUUUCAAUAAAUGUAUUGGCAAAAUAAUGCUUUGUUGAAGAGUAAGGAAAUAGAUUAAUUGACAAACAAAACUAUUAAGACUGUUGGCAACACACUCGAAAAGGAUCUACUGAAAACAAAAGAUUUGCCUGAUUGAAAAAAAAAACAUCAAGAAAAGGAAGGGAUAAUAACUUUUUUUUUGCAAAUAAAUUUUAUUUACAAGUUGAAGUUGUACCACACCAAAUAUAAAGUAGUCAUAUAAGAAAAUACUAAAGAUAAUCACAUUAAAUUGCAUUAUUACCCAUAUGCUCAAUAACAAAAUUCUUUCUCCAAUAAAUUCCAAAUACAAGAUAAUCCUUCUAAAGGCUACUAACAUUGCUAUAGUAAAGGUCUCGAUUAAAGGGCAUUACUGAACCCUAAAACAGGAACUAAAUUUCUUCUUUUCAAAAGAAAAUAAAAAAGAACAUUAACAAUUGAUUACAACAAAAAAUUACAGACAGACGAAUAAGAAAACUAGAAAUUGAAAUUUAAUUGAAUAUUCUAACAACAACGCCAAAUUUAAUCAAUGUCAUACUCAACCAAAUUAAAAAAUUAAAAUAUAAAUAGCCGACUUCACAAAAACGACAAUAAAAUUCAAUUAUAAUAGUUGAUAUGUUUUUUUUACCUAUUAAAUUAAGCAAAUAAUUGUAUGGAAUUAAGUAAAUUAAACAUAAAUUAUAAUUAACGAACAAAAUCAAGUUAUCGCGUUAAAAAACAAUUCCAAAAUCAAGGAUCAGAAGUAAAAAAAAAAAACAUAUUAUCUAGUGCAAUCUAACACAGAAAUUGAUGAACAGAAAUCACACGAGAAAACAUAAUAUGUUACAUAUGCCAAUUAGGUUAGUGCACUUAAGAAUAUAAAUUCAACCAAUAAUUACAGUUAAAGUCCAAUUAAAUUACAUUAUAUGAAUUCUAAUUGAAACUAAGUGAAAUGUAUUUAUCCUUAAAUUCAUCUUGAAUUAAUAUAAUUUCAAUCAAAAGAUUAAAAAAAAAAACUAUUAAAAAUUUAGAACAAUCGACCACAGUGGGAGUCGAACCCACGACCUUCUGAUCCGAAGUCAGACGCGCUAAUCCACUGCGCUAUGCGGUCUUUGUUGACUAUUCUACAUUCAAAUAUUUUAAAUAUGUUAUUAUUAGAUCCUUUUGGUUACAACUGAACCAUUGCUAUAACGUAUUUUUGUCAAUACAAGUAUGUGGGUAGUUAUUUUAUGCAUGAACUCACUGGAAGCGACGUCGUUUCAGAUAAAGUGAAAAAUUAGAAUAAAGCGGGAGUUAGGGUUCGAGCACAACCUUGUUCGUGUGCGAGGGUUGCAGAGAGAAGCGAAUCGAAUCGGAAUGAGCGGUUGGGUGAAGCGACGCGGCGACGGUGUCGUCGGGAGCAGCAGAGAGGAAGAUCAGCUCAUAGUCACUCCAUUAGGCGCCGGAAAUGAGGUUGGCCGUUCCUGCGUCUACAUGUCCUACAAAGGCAAAAUCGUCUUGUUCGAUUGCGGCAUUCACCCUGCUUACUCCGGCAUGGCCGCUCUCCCCUAUUUCGACGAGAUUGACCCUUCCACCGUCGACGUCCUCCUCAUCACUCACUUCCACUUGGACCACGCCGCCUCCUUGCCCUACUUUCUCGAGAAAACCACCUUCCGUGGCCGCGUUUUCAUGACCUACGCCACCAAGGCCAUUUACAAGCUCCUCUUGUCCGAUUUUGUCAAAGUCAGUAAAGUCUCCGUCGAAGACAUGCUCUAUGACGAACAGGACAUCAACCGCUCCAUGGAUAAAAUCGAGGUUCUCUUCUCAUUUUCGCCUUUUCUGCUUCUCGCUACUUAAAUUUACUUCUCCGUCACUACUCGUAGAAGGAAAAUUAACAAGGUGUGGUGAAUUCAGUUUUUCGUAUAAGCUAAGCAAAAUCAACUUCCAAUUUAUUUAUCUAGGGUUGUAGUUUAGUUUAUCUCUUUAAUGUUUGCUUACAGAAAUUUGUGACUGCAGGUGAUAGAUUUCCAUCAAACAUUGGAAGUGAACGGUAUUCGAUUCUGGUGUUAUACUGCAGGACAUGUGCUUGGUGCUGCUAUGUUCAUGGUUGACAUCGCUGGUGUCCGAGUUCUUUAUACUGGAGAUUAUUCGCGCGAGGAAGAUCGGCAUCUCCGAGCUGCUGAGACCCCACAGUUUUCCCCCGAUGUUUGUAUUAUAGAGUCCACCUAUGGUAUACAGCACCAUCAGCCUCGGCACACUCGGGAAAAACGCUUCACUGAUGUUAUUCACUCCACCAUUUCUCAGGGGGGUCGUGUGUUGAUUCCAGUAUUUGCCCUUGGUCGUGCACAGGAGCUCCUCCUGAUCCUUGAUGAGUAUUGGGAAAAUCAUCCAGAGCUUCAGAAUAUACCCAUCUAUUAUGCUUCUCCUCUUGCAAAAAAAUGUUUGACCGUGUAUGAAACAUAUACCCUUUCCAUGAAUGACAGGAUCAAGAAUGCUAAGUCGAAUCCCUUUUCCUUCAAGCACGUGUCAGCUUUGAGUAGCAUUGAUGUUUUCAAAGAUGUGGGACCGUCUGUUGUGAUGGCAAGUCCUGGUGGGCUUCAGAGUGGUUUGUCACGACAACUAUUUGAAAUGUGGUGCUCUGAUAAGAAAAAUGCUUGUGUUUUACCAGGGUAUGUUGUUGAAGGGACAUUGGCAAAAACCAUCAUCAAUGAACCCAAGGAGGUUACUCUCAUGAAUGGACUCACUGCACCGCUUAACAUGCAGGUGCACUACAUUUCCUUUUCUGCUCACGCUGACUCUGCUCAAACAAGUGCUUUCUUAGAAGAGCUCAAUCCCCCUAAUAUAAUUCUUGUUCAUGGGGAAGCUAAUGAGAUGGGCAGGCUCAAACAGAAGCUUAUGAGUCAAUUUGCUGAUCGCAACACCAAAAUUCUUACUCCGAAAAACUGUCAAUCUGUUGAAAUGUAUUUCAAUUCCCAGAAAAUGGCAAAAACCAUAGGGAAGCUGGCUGAGAAAACACCGGAAGUUGGCGAAACUGUCAGUGGUUUACUGGUAAAAAAAGGCUUCACAUACCAGAUAAUGGCACCUGAUGAUCUCCAUGUCUUUUCACAACUAUCAACAGCAAGCAUCACUCAGAGAAUUACCAUUCCUUAUUCUUGUGCCUUUAAUGUCAUUCGGCAUAGACUAAAACAGAUAUAUGAGAGUGUUGAGCAGUCAGUGGAUGAGGAAUCUGGAGUUCCUACAUUGCAAGUCCAUGACUGCGUUACUGUGAAGCAAGAAUCUGAAAAGCAUAUCUCCUUGCAUUGGGCAGCUGACCCCAUUGGGGACAUGGUAUCAGAUUCAAUUGUUGCUCUGAUUUUAAAUAUCAGCCGUGAUGUCCCAAAAAUAAUGGAUGAAGCUGAUGCCGUUAAAAUUGAGGAAGAGAGUGAGAAGAAGGCAGAGAAGGUUAUGCAUGCCCUCCUCGUUUCACUCUUUGGAGAUGUGAAGAAAAGUGAAAAUGGUAAAUUGAUAAUCAGCAUUGAUGGGAAUGUAGCAGAGCUCAACAAAGAAAGUGGGGAAGUUGAGAGUGAAAAUGAAGGUCUCAAGGAAAGAGUAAAGACAGCAUUCCGCCGUAUUCAGAGUUCUGUGAAGCCAAUUCCUCUUCCUGCACCAUAGUCUAUUCCUUUUCUUGCAUUGUCUUGGGAAGGUUCAAUGCCACCAAACACUUGCUCACAUGAGACAGUUAUCAUAACAUGUAGUUACUGUAUCUUUAGAAUGACGAGCUUGGACACAACAUUCUCUGCCCCAUUUUUGUUAUUCAUCGAACAUUUAAUCAUUUAGUCUUCAAAUGUUUUAUUAAUGUGUCUUUAAUUUUUCUGUCUGUCAUUUUCUAGCUGAUAGCGAUGGUGCGCAUGAUUGAAUACUGAUCUCCUUGUUUCUAAAGCAUACUGAUUUUCUUUUAAUUCAUGAAUGAUUGAAUUUUGCUUACCAUGGAUCUUGUGCUGGGAAAUACAGUGUUGGACUGUUAGGUUUGAUGUUCUAUUUACCUAAAAACUAGUAGUGUGUCUCAGAUGAUUAAGGGUUCAUGAUUAUCACCAAAUAACUUUCGAUGUUCGGAAUCUUAAUAAAUUAAAAGAAUGUAAAUGAUUUAGUAUGCCUAUUUCAGGAAUGCUCUUUUAAUUUUUUAACAGAAGAAUCUUUGAAGUAUUAUUUUAUUUUAAUCUAAUAAUGUUGGUGCUAAGUGUAUCUGGGAUCAAAGUACGUGCAAUUUGAAUUUAUCACGAUUUGUUUCCCCAUGAGAUACCGACAUAAAAAUGGAGAUUAACCAAUCUGUUUUCCCCUCGCGAAAUGAUGAUGUUAAAGAGAAUAUUAAAAGUUAAAACACUUUAAAUUUAUAAGAAAUCUUUUAUUGAAAAAUAUAAUAUUUAAAUCUAAUGAUUUUGAAUAAAAAAUAUUAUUUACCAGUUUCUUAAUUGAUAUCUAAAGAUACUCAUUGGUAGGAUUCUUUAGAAUGGCAGUAUAAAUAUCAUCUUAGACACUUCAUCUUUUUCGCAAAAUAAUUUUACAUUUUGUUUAAAUCUUAAAAAAAAUGAAGCUUUUUUUGUCUAUAAUUUAGUAAUAAAAUUGUAAUAGUGACAAAUUAAUGUUAAAAAAGGAAUUUAAAUAGUUAUAAUUGACAGCUAACCAUAAAAAUAAAAUAAAAAAUACUAGUUUUCUCUUAAAUUUAUUAAAUAAUCUGAAUUAUAUUAAAAAACACGUCCUCUUUUGAUCAGAAUGCAUAAAAUAUUGUCAUUCUAUUGAUUUCCUCAUUAAUAUUAAACAAAAGUUAAAGAUGCUAAUUUUCUUGAAACAAAUGAAAGACAAAAAAACACUUAAUAAAAUAGCAUAUUUCCAUUUUAUAGUUUAUUUAAAUAAUUACUUGAAAUAUUUGUUAAUUUUCAAUUGCAACAGCUAAUAACAAGAUGGAGAGAGCAGUAAUAGAAUAUUGGAUUUUAAAGGUUAUAGCAGUAAUGGAGUAUUAAGUUUGAUGAAUAACAAGUAAAUGUAUUAAUUCCCAAGUUCAAAAGUAUCAAAAGCGAUGAGAUGAAUAAUAAGAUAAGAAAACAUAAAAUAUGGGGCUCAUAAACUAGUAUAUGGAUAUUUAAAGGAAUUUGAAACUAGCCUAUACUCUUGAAAAAAAUUUAGCAGUAACAUCUAAGAUGUCACAUGACAUUAGACUGCAGUUUUCUUGUUCCUGAAAUUCUCCUUCAUCAUUGCAAAUUUUUUCUUACACUGAUUCACAGUCUUCCCAGGUACAGCUGCUGCAACUCUCUCCCACCUCUGGCUUGUUUCCUUUGGAAAGGCUUUUAGAGCUUGAACCAGUGCUCGUUCAUGCACUGCAGACCACACAUCCUGUUCUGAACUGGAAGAAACUCCAUUAGCAGAUGCAGAGUUCUGAUUAUCUGUAUUCUUGCUGUGAGAAUCUUCUGUGUUAUUGGUUGAGGCAGGAGUUGGAGUUGGAGUUGAUACCCCUUCUAAUUCUUCUCUGGUUGUCAGUGGAGACUCAAUUGAUUGUGCACCAGGUUUCCUUUUCUCAAGAAAAGUGUCAAAAGCUUUUGAUGAAUCAGGUUUCUGGAGGAGUACAGUUUUAGUUGCCUUCAUUAUUUCUUCAACAGAUCUUCCAGUACCAAUGUAUUCUGAAAUAACCUCCCAUCUCCUUGAAGUUCCUUUGGGGUAUUUCUGCAUUCCUUUCCUCAGUAGAUCAAUCUCUUCUUUACUCCAAGGUUUCUCCUCCUUCUUCUCAACAUUGCUUCUCGAAGCACUGCCAUUAGCCUUGAUGGAACCAUUGGAAUUUUGUUGAUUGGUUUUCUCAUCAGCCUUGAUGGUUUUCUCAUCUUUCUUAGAGCUCAGAGCGUCUCUCAAAACACUUGCUUGCUCUAAUAAAACCUGCCUGCCUUCCAUGUUCUCACAUAGACUCCUCAUCUGCUCAAUAUCAAGUGACAUGCAAAGCCUUUCUACAUCAUCAUCAGAAAUAUCAAGCAAACGUUGGGACAGAAUAGGUCCUGAAAGAGUCCGGAGGCGAGCUCGCUCCUUUCGCAACAGCUUUUUCUCUUUCUCUUUGACCUUCUUCUGUUGUAAGGCAGCUUCUGCAGCUUGUCUCUCUUCCUCCUCUUUUCUCUGCUUCUCCUCCUCUGCAAUUCUGGCUGCUUCUUCUUCCUGCAAUUUCUUUGCCAGGAACUUAGCCUCCUUUUUCCUUUGUUUCUGAGCUUUUUCUUCUUCCUUUCUUCUAGAUAUUCUGGGGUCCCUCUUGUAAGCAUUAUCAACAAGAGUACGAAUCCGUGCAUAGUCCUCCUUCCUAGCUUUUUCUGUCAAUUUUGCAUUCUGCCUUUCCAUCCACCUCUUGUGGUCUCGAGAUUCAGCUUGCUCGAGAUCAAACUCAUCAGCAUGUGGAAACUCCCUCCAACUUUUAAAGGAGUACCAAAAAUUGUAGAAAUUAUCAACUUCUUUUAAUGGAGUAUUAUCAUCACCUAGUGUAGGAAUUGGUUGAUUAACCGACCAUCGUCCGUUCCUCAUAAAAGCAGGACCAAACACCUUAAAGAAAUCUUGUGGAGCACAAUCAGUGGGAAUCUCGUCAUCAAACUCAUCAGUGGAAUCAUAAAUCCUUCUCUUCACAGAAUCAGUCAGCACUUCAUAUGCUUCCUGGAUUGCCUUGAAGUGACUUUCUAUUUCAUCCUUCUUUGCUUGUUUCGCAGCUUCAGUUUCCUCAGCCAAAAGAAGGGCAGCCUGCUUGUCAGGAUGAAACCUCAAGGCAGUUUCACGAUAGCUUUUACGGAUUUGAUCCUCAGUAGCCAGAUACCUUAGAUGACCCAGACCCAAUAAUGCAUAGUGAUCUUGUUGCUUGUCCCCAGUACCAGAUUUCUUUUUGCUUUUGCUGCUAUAAGAAUCAGAUGGAAGGUACGUUUGUUCCUUAUCAUCAACCACCUUUUUGUCAUCAGCCUCAUUCUUCUCUUCCUGAACACCACGAAGUUUAAGUGCAGCAGAAUGGAAAGAAUGACCUGCAGGUUCAUAUUUCAAAGCCUUCGUCGGAAGACAGUUUGAAGAGACAAAAAUAGGUUGUCCAUCUACAAUCUCUUGUGAGUAAGUAAUAAGACGGAAUUUUGUAUGUACAGCCAUAAUGGUGGCCUUUCAGAACAAAGAAAUAUGUCUCCCCUCAAAUUUAACACCGCAACCUGCAUUCAAAUAAAAACUCAGUUAGACAAUUCCCAGUCCCUUGACUUCAAUUAAACAAACAUCUAAAUCAUUAUUUUAAUAGAAUGAGAUAUUUUCUUUAAGAGAAAGUGGACUACAACUGCGAAGUGAAGGGAAAAAAAGGCCAAUAAUGCAACAAGGAUGCCCAAUCUCAAAGCAUAUUAGAUACAGCAACUCUCUUGAUGCAGCAAUGAACGGAUUAAUAGAACACCAAAGAUGAGCACUCUGUUAAAAACUUUUAGCUAAUACACCACAGAAUUUAAAACAAGCCAAAAACUGUUUCAGAGUAGACCUAAACAACUAUUGCUCCUCCAAGCAGCAUUAUCUAAGAAGUAAGGCCAAAAUUCAGCCAUAUAAACAUGUCAUUGCAGCCUAUGCAAUUUGGCAUCACCAGUUAACAACAUUGCCAACAGAAGGCAAUCGAAAUAUUUUAUAAUGGGAAAGUAGCCAUCUUACAGUGAAAAAAGAACAAAAACACAACACACUGAGCUUUGUUUUCAUGAAGGUGGUAGAAGUGAGACAUACAACACUGAACAGAAAAGAAGUAGCUUAUUGGCAAGUUUGCACUGUACAAAGAUGAAAAAGGCAACCACUGGCCUCUCAGAAAGAGGCAUAUUUUUUAAAAAUAAUGUUUUUCCAAACUAAGACGAGAAAGGGUUACAGAUACAUUAAAUAGGUAUUCAGUUACUGCACCUGGGCUUAAAAUACACGCAUUGAAAUACAAUUAACUAGAUAUCAAAGAACUAAAAACAUGGGUAAUUAGAGGGAAAGUACUGUGUAUGACCUCCGAAAGUAAAUAUCGAUUCAGCUUCACAUUAACUGCAAACAUACCAAAAUUCAUUAAACUCUCAAACCUAAGGCAAAAAACAGUUUAGACAAACAUAGUUCCGCCAAUUCUUCCCACUUCCCUCCCUAACUUCAUCAAACGAAUAAAAUAAAAUAAAAUCACCCCAUUCAAUGAAGACAAAAGGUAAAGGAAAUAACACAUCCAAAACAUCUUUAGUUAAGUAAAAAACAGCCUAAAGCUACCAUUAUGUUAACAUAAAAUUCAUAUUGUAACAGUGGUCCUGCAGAAGAGCCUUUUUCUCAAAGCAUGAGAACGAAAAUCCGAAAAACAUGAAAAAAUGAGGACAAGAAACAUUGAAAAGGCAUAAUAAUUUUUUUCUACUGAAGAUUGUAAUUAACUGAGUGCAUGUUGGGUUCCACAUCUGGGAUCGACAAUUAGGGUAAAAUCACGUCGAAGACAAUGCAAAAGCAACAUGCUCCCAGAUACACAGUAACAAGAUUUGUGGAUUUCCUUUAAGUAGUAUCCAACACCAAAACUAAAAAAACUUCAACAAAGAAACCGCAGAAGAUGAAAGAACAAUUAUAAACGAAUAAACGAAAAGUACACAAAUUCAAUCAACCAUGAAGAAAAGAAAAAAAAUAACCCAGUUAAACAAACCGAAAGGGCUGAAGCUAAACUGAAAAGGGUUUCAGAUAUAUGCAGAGAAAGGUUACAGCUGUACCCAGAAACCGAGAAAAGUGUAGGUGAUGCAGGAGGAGAAGUGGAAGGAAAACAGAUCGUGAUUGGCAUGUGGGGUGUGUGAUGCAGAAAGUGAUGAGAUGGGAAAACGAAGAGGAAGAAGAAAGAUGAAAGCUUUACCAAGAAAAAAGGAGGGAGGAAUCACGGAAUGAAGGGAAGAAGAAGCCGACUCUGAAGAGCACAACACAAGAGAAGGAAAGCUUUGGUUUUGGUUUGGGCAUUUUAUAUGUGGCAACACCCACUGCCCUAUCUCUCUCUCUCUCUUUCCAAAAAUAAAUCAACAUUAUAUUAAGAACCCUAACAAAAUAUUUCUUCAUCUCAAUUUCCUUAUUUUGCAUAGAAUAAAAUAAUAUAAAUUUAAAUUAAUUGGUUAUUAUUUUUAAAAUAGAUUUGAAAUUUUGAUGUAAUAUCUAUCAUAUCAUUUUAAAUAUAAUUUGUUAUAAAUCAUAACAAAUUUAUCGCGUAUGUGAACAGAUAAUAUUUACAUUAACUUCUCUUUAAAUUUUAAAGCAAAAAUAAAUAAAAAAUGUUGAGAAUGCUAUAUUUUGUGAAAAAACUAGGUUAAGAAAAAUAUUUCAAGUGUGUGAAUUUUACCUGAAUUGAAAAAAGUCCUUAAGAUGGAUCUUUGUUCCUCAAAUUGGACCCAAUUAUCAUGAGAAUACUUAUGAUUAUGAUUGAUGAAAAUAAUUUUCUUACUCAACACCAUAUACAUAAGUAUAUUUAGGUCUCGUGCAAGUGUAAAAUAAAAUAAAAUAAGAUAAAAUAAGAUAAGAUAAAAUAAAAUAAAAUAUUUGUUUCUUCGACGAUAAUUUUCUUCUCUUCUACAUUUCUUGUUUCUUGCAAUACAUGCCAAAAACGUUUUGAACUUUUACCUCCAAUAACAAAAACUAAGACAAAUGUGGGGAAAGUAAAAGAUUUCUUUCACACCUUUGAAAACAUAUACUUAUACCACAUUAUAAUAAAUAAUAAUAUUUAAAAAUAAAAAAUAAAUUAUCUAGUAAAAUAAUAUAAAAAUACAAAUAGAAUUCAAAUUUUAAAAAGUAAAAUAAUAUAAAUACAAUUGAACACAGUUUAUAUCUAUUUGGUUUAGUACAUAAUUUUUUUUAAUAAUCUUAACGUUAUCAAAGUUUUAUUAUCUAGUUCAAUAGGAACUUAAUCACCACCUUAAGGCUCAAAUCCUAUCCAAAACCAAAACAAAAUGGUGUUUAAGUUAUGAAUGCAUGAAAGAAAUUUGAAAACCUUGCAUGUUUUCUCCAUAUUUUCAAAUGAUAAGAAGAGAUUAAAAUUGUAAUUUCAGGUCUUAUAUGAGGUGAGAAAGAAGACAUGGAGGUACAGAAAGAAAUUCCCUAUAAGGCAUUGGUUAAAGCCUCACAAAAUAGCCCAAUAAAUUUGAGGUCCACAAUCAAAUUAUUUUCACUCACUAAUAUAACUAUUCUUGUCCUUUUACAUUUAUACAUCCACCUGUUCAGAUCAAUCCACAUAAAUUCUGAACAUAACUUUAAAUAAAUUAAAGUUAAAUAUACUUUAAAUUUAAUUAUCAACUGCACAUUAUUUCCAUACUAUUUUUAAUAUACAAAAACACAAGUGGUUACAAUAGAAAAUAACACAUCUGAAAUUUAUGAAGAAGUUAUAACUUAUCUUAAAUAUAUAUAAAUAUGAUGUCCCUUUCAAUGCAUGUUGAUAUGUUGAUGAAUAUAUAUAGCAUAUGGUUUAGGUAAAGAGAGAGAGAGAAAGAAUGAGCAUGCAUUUCCAUUACUAGAAAUAGUGUUAUAUGGUGAGUUUGGUGAAGACUUAGAAGCACUGAAUAAUGGCUACCAUUUUCAUCUUCAUCUUCUUCUUCUUCCUCGUACCCUCUUGUAACCACCUCAAACCUUCUUUUUUUGUUUCUAAUUUUUCAUUUCUAUUGUCACCAUUCAUAUCUCUUUCACUGGGAAUGCAGAUGGAUUCGACUCGUUGGAUCCUCUUGGCAACAUCACCAUCACAUGGGAUUAUUUCUCCGACAACGGGAAUUCAGUCGACGUAACCAUUUCUACUUUUUAUUUUUCUAACUUACGUAUUCUGUUCUGAUUUACCCUUUUUAUGGGCUCUUCAUCAUCGCCGUCUAAGAAGAUAUCAAAGUGACUUAGUCAGAAUGUCUGCGGGUUUUCGAUGUUCUUAAGGAAACAGUGAGAUGCGUACGCUUUGUUUGUUUGUUUUUUAGGGUUAUGUUCGGUCUCUUGUAUACUUCCAAUCACUUCAUGCCACGUCAGCUAAACAUAGUGCAUUUCUUUGGCAAUAUAUGAGGCCAUUCUAGUAGUUCACUCUGUCUCAAUAGUCUCGUCUACGUGGGUUGCUGUUCAAGUGUAUGUAACAGUUUCUAGAUUAAUCAAGAUUAAGAUAUAUAAGUGUUUAUAAAUCUCACUUAUAAGCUAGUUUUAUAAAAUUGAUUAUCAGAGUAAUUCCAAACUUAAUCUAAUUAUUUGUUGGAUUUAUCAGUCUACCCAACACGAAUUGGUAAACUCGAUGUGCAGAUGUGUUGAAGAUUCACGUUAACUAGAGAUUAUGACUUAUAAAUACAUGCAAAUCUCACUUUAUAAACUGAAUUAAGCUUAAAGUUAACCUAUAGUUUCGUAUAAAUACUGAACUGCAAUAGCAUGCAUGGUAACAAGUGCGAUUUAUGGUGUGUUUGGUUUACUUGGUAGGUGAGGGUAUCACUGAACAACUUGCAGCUAUUUCGUCACGUGGAGGAACCCGGUUGGAAUUUGGGUUGGGCAUGGAAAGGUGAUGAGGUGAUUUGGGCUAUGUUGGGAGCAGAGGCAAAGGAGCAAGGGAAUUGCACAAGAUUUAGAGGACAACAGAAACCACACUGUUGCCAGAAGGAGCCUGUUAUCAUUGAUCUCAUGCCUGGAACCCCCUACAACAUGCAGACUGCAAAUUGCUGCAAAGGUGGGGUCCUAACAUCCCUAAAACAAGAUCAUUCCAAAGGUGGCGCCACCUUCCAGAUGAAUUAUAUCAAAGCUUCAGUCUCCGAUUCAGGUGGCAGUUUUAGCAUGCCUGAGAAUUUCACCCUUGGAGUUCCUGGCUAUAGCUGUGGGACACCCUUUCAAGUCCCCCCAACCAAGUUUACCAAAGAUGGACACAGAUGGCAACAAGUCUUGGGUCAGUACUGCUUCUUAAUAUCUCUUUUAUGCCUCACAAAGUUACCUCAGAAUCGUUAAUAACUCUACUUAUGUAUAUGAUAACAUGGUCAAAAUUAUUCUAUACACAUCAAUCUUUUCUGCUCUUGUUUUAUCUCACGUGAGUUAUUUUGUUGGAAUUAUGUGGGUUAUAUAUGCAUUCUUCUGUCUGAUAAGUUGUUUCGACAUGCUCUUUGUUCAUGUAUAUUUCAACAGCUUGGUGUGGUUCAUAUUGUAUUUUUUUUGUGGAUUACUUGCAGAGACUUGGAAUGUGACUUGUAUUUACUCCCAGUUUCUAGCAUCACCUACUCCAACAUGUUGUGUCUCUUUGUCUGCAUUCUACAACAGUACCAUUGUUCCUUGUCCCACAUGCAGUUGUAAUUGCCAAGGACUACCAGGAGCUACUAAUUGCGUCGAGUAAUUCUUCUCAUCUUCACUUAAUUUAUGCUUCAAAGCUUCUUUCAUAGAAUAACCAAUAAUCUAUUUGCAGUUCUGAUAAGACUUCAGUGUUGCAAGUACCACAAACAAAUCGCGGAGAAGCAUCAGCGGCAGUGAUCAGGUGUUCACAUCACAUGUGCCCCAUUAGCAUUCACUGGCAUGUGAAGCAAAGUUAUAAAGAGCAUUGGCGGGUCAAGAUCACAAUCACAAACAUGAACUUUGUCAAAAACUAUUCCCAGUGGAAUUUGGUGGCGGUUCACCCUAACUUCCGAAGCGUAACCCAAGUCUUCAGUUUCAACUUCCAAACCCUAUCAGUUUAUGCAAAUUUCAGUAAGUUACUGCAUUAUUGUCACCAUUAAUAAUACUGUAAGAGUAUCACACCUCAAUCUAAGAACCACAGUCACAUAAAAACACUUUGUUUGAACUAUGAGACUCAGAUACUCCUCUUAAAUAACAUGUCUAUGUCGGAUGCCUGUAUCGGUGGUGAAGUUUCAAAUGCAAAAAAUAUUUAUUAGAUUUAUGACGAAUGAGUGUUUUGAUGGUGUAUGGAUUUCAGGUGACAUAGGGAUGUUUUGGGGGCUACCAUACUACAAUGACAGGUUGCUGACACAUGGAGAGAAUGGGCAUGUGCAAACAGAGGUGUUACUACACAAAGAUCGAGGAGAGUUCAGGUUCAACGAAGGAUGGAGUUUUCCUAGAAAAAUUUCAUUCAAUGGCGAUGAGUGUGUGAUGCCAUCUCCUGAUGCAUACCCUACACUCCCCAACACAGCUCAUAUUUCCACAACAACCCUUCCCACAAUUUUCCUUUCACUGUUACUGCUCUCAAUUUGUUCUACAUCUUUAGAAUGAAGAAUUCUAGUUUAGUAUUUCAUAGUUUAGCGUCACACUGUAUUUCUAGUUAUUUCGUGUAGUCAAAACCUCAAUAAUAACAAAUCAACUGUGUUAUAACCUUUAAAAUUGGUCAAAACACCAUUAAAAAAAAUUAUUAGAAAAAAAAUAAUUUUAAAAACUAAAAUAUUUAAAUAUUCACUAAAUUAGAUUAGAAACUAUUUUAUAAAUUAAAUUAAAAAAUUAUUAGUAUAUAAAGUAUUUUCUCUCAUUAAUACAAAAUUAUAAAAUAAUUUUUAAUUUAAUAUUUAUUCAUUAGGUAUCAAGAUUUUAGUUACUUAACAUUUUAUAUUUUAAAUUAUUAAUAUUUAUUAAUCUUUUAGAUACUAAUUUAAAAUCUAAAAUAUUAAUAAUUAAAACUCAAAUAAGUAAUUUAGAUAUCAAUUUAAAAAUUAUUUUAUAGAUUUUUAUUAAUGAUAAAAAUCAGUUUAGAUAUUAAUAAUUUUCUAUUCUCUAAAUUAAUAUCUAAUUUAGUAAAUAUAAAAACUAAUUAAAUUUAUCAAUAAAUUUAAUUGUUAUUUAAUAAUUUUUUUAUAAUAUAUAAAAGCAAUUACAACUAUGGCACUAUAAUAAUAAAACUUUGCACUCAUUAACCUUGCGAAUUGAAUGAACGAUCGUUUUAUUCCAAUUUCAAGUUUGACUUCUUAACCCUAAUUGGAUACGUUGUAGUAUUUAAUAAAUCAUUAACUAUUAUUUUUAAAUUUUAAGAUAAUAUUGAUUAUUUUUUUAUCAUUUAUAUUGUUUUUCCUCAUUAGACGCUUACUUAGUUUAUAUAUGUAUUUGUUAUAAUAUGAAAACUAAAAAGGAUAAAACAGAAAUUCUUAUAAACAUUUUAUUAAAAUAAAAAUUGAUUACGUUUCUCCAAAAAAAACCUACAAUACUUAAAACAAGACAAAUGAACACAACAUAAUGUGAUCAAAAAUCACAUUAUCCGUUUCUAUUAAUAUCAAUUAUACAUUUAUUUAUUUAAGUCUCUAUUCUAUUUAUACAUUUAUUUAUUAUUUUUCUAUCAAUUUCUCUAUCUUCUUUUAUAUUCUUUUUUUUAUGAUUUUUUUUUCAUCUCACCGCACACUACAAGAGAAAAUUUUAGGUUAAUUUUUCCAUCUCUUUUCAUUUGUCUUUUAAAAUUAUUUUGCAAAAAAAAUAAAUAAGUUUUCUUAUUUUAUCACUUUCUUUCUCCACCUCUAUUAAAAAACACAGAGUUUAAUAGUUUAGAAAUAAUAGUUUAAUAGAGUUUAUUUUCUUCUUAGAUAUAAAAGUUACUUGAUUUUAUUUAUUUGUUUAUGAUUUUUUAAAAUGAUAAUAUUUCUUUACUUUUUGCAUAUUUUUUAAUUAACAACAACAUUUUUAUUGUUUUUCAUCUCUUUUUCUUUUCUUCUCUUUUUAUCACACUUUAUUUUAUUAUUUUCAUCCAACCAAACAUAAUAAUAAAGAUAUAGUGCCGAUUAAAUAAAUAAAUAAUAAUUUAUACCUCUAAGGGAAUUUUCUACUUUUCUAAAUUAUUUCCUUAUUUUAUCUUUAUUUUAUAUUUUUUUUAUUAAUUUAUUUUGAUUAUUCAGACAUUUUAUAAUUUUAUAAAUUAAUAAAAUAGUUUUUUAAUUUUAAAAUUUUAUGUUAUUUAUUCUCAUUUAACUAUUUGGAGAGAUUGAUAUACGUUAAUUUUAUUUAUUGUCACCUGACAGGAGGAGAGUGGAGAGAUUAAUUACUUUCCUGUUUUAAACUUAUAUUCUUCUUUAUUAAAUAAACAAUUUUAAAAUUUUAUUUGUUCCCACUUAACUGUUAAGGAAGUGGAGAGAUUGACAGGUUAAUUAAUUUUAUUUGUGAUCACUUAACUAACAGAAUGGUGUAGAGAUUGAUUAUCAGAAGUAGCGUUGAAUGUAGAACAAUUUUUUUAUUUUCUCUCUCUUAUUUUAUCUCUCUCCUUCCAAAUCUUUUGAAACCCAAUAACAUAUUUCUCAUACAUACAAAUACACAUGAAUUUAUAUUUAAAUAUAUAUAUAAUAAAAAAAACUAAAAAAUACGAAUGAACAGACGAAAAGAUCAAGCAUCGCCUAAUAAUAAUAAUAAUAAAGAUAUAGUGUAAUAAAUAAAAGCGUAAUUAAUAUUAUUUGAACUAUCUGAAUGAGAAAUAAAUAAAAACAAAAUAGUCAAAAGAAACAACACUUAAAAAGGAAGAAAUAACUCUUUACUAUUAUAAAUCAUAAAUGCCAAUUAAACUUUCAACUCUGACUUUUUAGUGAGAUUGGUUAAUGUGAUAUAAUUAUUAAUUACAGAAGUUAUGGCAACACAUGAGAACAAAAUAUAAUUUAAUUAAAAUAGUUGUUACAUUAAAUAUCAAUUAAUGAUCAUAUAUAUAUUAAUAAGAAAAUAUAUAAGUAUAUUUUUAUUAGAAAAUGAUAUAUAAGAUUUUUUUUUCUAAAAUUUUCUUUAUUAAAGAUAUAUAGGAACUAUUUUUUUUCUAUACCCAUCAAUUUUAAGGAGUCUCACUUCUAAAUUUUGUUAAUUUAUCCUUAAGUUCAAGUUAAUAGCACUCUUAUUCCAAGAUUCUCCCUUAUAUUGAUUAAAAUUUACUGAAAAUUAACAAUUCUAAUGGGUAUAGCUACUAAAUAAAAAAUAUUUAUUAAAUGAGAAGUGAAACCUUCCAAAAUUAAUUAAUAAAAAUAACAUUAGAAAAAGAGGAGUCAACGAAAGUGUAUGUAUACCAAUAUAUUUCAAUAUCAGAUAUUUAUAUGAAAUUGCUUUAGGGUUUCAAAAAACUACUAAAAAAGUUAAUUUAUGCAAAUAUAAAAGCUAAUUAGCUUUAUUAAUUUCAUUUAAAAACAAAUAUCCAUCCUUCAAUUAUUUUUCAUUAUAAUUUGAUAUAAAAAAUAUUAAAAUUAAUAUUUUAAUUUCAUAAAACAUAUUUUUGGGGAUAAUAUAUCAUUAAAUAAGAUAAUAUAAUUAAUAUUUUUUGUAUUUUAAACUAAAAUACAUUAUUUUUAUUAUUAUUUAUAUUCAAGACCGAAUGAAAUAUUACAUUUUUUCAAAUCAAUUGUACAUAAAAAAAUAAGUAAUUUUAAUAGUUGAAGAUAAUAGUAUAUUCAUAGUAUACUUGUAAUAUUUCUUUUCAGCGUUUAGUUUAUUAUCUAAACUUAAUUGUUUACUUGGUUCAAGUAGAAUUGAGACUAAAUCUCUUAAAAAAUGUUAGAUUCUUAGUAAUAUAAGUGAAACAAAUAUAAUUGAAAAAAUUAAUAAGAUAUGAUAAUUUUCAAUCAUAAUAAAAAUAAUUAUUAGUAAAAUCAGUGAAUAGUACAUGUAUACAACAAGAAAAUCAUUAAAUAUCAAUUAAUUUUAGACUAAUUAAUUAAAUUAAAUAUUAUUUUAUAAAUUAAAAAAUUAUUGAUAUUUAAAUUAAUUUUUAUUAUUAAUAAAAAUGUAUAAUAUACUUUUAAAAUUAAUUAGAUAUCAUGAAUUUAAAAACUAGUUUCUAAACUAUAGUAUAUAAAAUAGUAUUUAUUAUUAAUAAAAUUUAUAAUUUAAUUUUUAAAUUAUGACUAAUUAAUACGAGUUUAGAAAUUAAUUUAUAAAUUUCAUUAAUAAUAAAAAAUACUAUAUAUGAAUAAUUUUUAUAAUUUUUAAAAUAAUAUCUAAUAUAAUUAAUAUUAACUACUUUUUGUCUUUAAAAUUAAUUUUGUUGUGAUAAAAUUCGAUAAAGCUAAAUUAAUAUUUUUAAUAUCAAUAUAAAAAAAAUUAGUAAAAUUCAAUCCUAUGCUUCCGUGUCAAAAUAAAUAAGAUUUUCGAAAUAUAUCUGAUAACAAAACAUAUUGACAAACAGACUAAUUAAUAUCAUAAUUGCUCAUUAAUAUGUAUAACUCAUUCAACUCAUCAUAUAAUAUUUAAUAUUAACUAUUUAAUUAAUUAAAUAACUUUUUUUAAAUAUAUAUUUGUCAUUUAGUCCUAUUUGAAACCGUUUCUCUUUGACUUAAACUCUCAUCUACAACUUCAACGCUAGAAUCCCUCACUUAAAAGAAGGUGAAUAAGCAUGAGAGAUUAAGUUUUUAUUUAUUUUUUUAUUACACAAAAGCAAGUAUUUUUCAAUGUAAAACAAUUCAUUAUACUAAAGUCUUACAAAAAUUGUUUAGAUAAACUACAAGAAAAUCAUGAAAUAGAAACUAAUUUUAUAGAUAAAAAAUAAUUAGUUGUUAUAGUGACUAAAUUAGAUACCAUUUUAAAAACUAAAAAAAUAGUUUUUAAAUAUUUUAUUAUUGUUAAAUAGUUUAUAAAUUGAUAUCUAAUUAGCUAUACCAAUUAUUUAUAUUCUAAAAUUGGUAGCAAAAACUUUGGUUACUAAUUAGAUACUAAUUUAGAAACCAUUUAACAAUAAUAAAAAUUAAUUUAUAAACUAAAAAUAUUUUUAGUCUCUAAUUUAGUCAUUAUAACAACUAAUUAUUUUUGUCUAUAAAAUUGGUUUCUAUUUCAUGAUUUUCUUGUAGUGGGAGUCUUAGAAACAAUUAUCUUCUACUUUUCCUCUCGGUUUUUCAGCUUCUCACUAAUGACUUAGACUUUCUAUGGAUCAGCUAACUUGGAUUAUAUUAUGUGGGCUUGGACUUAUUUUUGGCUAUUAGAUAUGGACUAUCACUCAGCUAUUGGAUCUGGGUCAGCUCUCAGCUUCUAGAUCCAAAGUGAGUGUACCUGUAAGGGGCUCCGAUGGUAAAGUUAUAAUUGGUUUGUUUGAUUAUCAGAUAAAAAAAAACAUUCUACUUACCUAUUACACAAAUCACCUAUUUUAUAUUUUAACUUGAUUGGACUUUUACUUUUCACACAUUAUAGUUACUAAGUAUAUUUCAAGUGUUUUUUGUCUAUUUAUUGAACUUUGAUACAAUGCUAUUUUAUUCUAUUAUUUAUUUAUAUUUUAACUUUCAAUAUUCUGAGAGUCUUACGGCCUUUUGACCUUUCGACCUAGUCAUUACCGUUUACAAAAGUCAAUUACAUACACAUGUACAAUAUAACUUUUUAUUUUAGAAUUAUUAAUUCUUCUUAAGUAGCCUAAUUUAGUUUCUCUUUUUUUUUGUGUUUCCCAAGAAAACUUAUAAAUAUAAAAUGUUAGAGAAGUCCUAACCUACUUCUAGAAGACUUGUUUAAAAAACGAAACACAUUAUAAACUUAUACUACUUACACUAUAAGAAAUCAUUAAAUGAAAACUAAUUUUAAAGACCAACAUAAUUAGUUUUUAUUUGAACAAAUUAGAGACCAUUUUAUAAACUAAAAAAAAAAAUUGGUAGCUAAUUUAGAAAUUAAUUUAGAAUAUAAAGUACGAAGUAGCUAAAAUUUUGGUAGCUAAAUUAUAGAGACUAAUUCUAGUCUCCAAAAAGUCAUGAUGCAAUCCAACUUCAGAGGUAAGAAGUUGCCUAACCGAUAGUGUGCCAUUAAAGCUUUAGAAUUGAGUUGCACUUACACAUACAUAUAUGUGUGAUUAUGUAUAGUUAUAUGUAUAUUGUUUAGGUUGAAUAUAUGUAUGAUUAUGUAUAGUUAUAUGUAUAUUGUUUAGGUCGAAUGAGCAAAAGGUUGAAAGGUCGAUAAUAAGAUGAAAAACUAAACAAAAAUGAAUAAAUAAUUAAAUAAUAAAAUAUUAUAGCAAAAUUCAUUGAAUAGAUCUAAAUAUGUACAAUAUGUUUAAGAAAUAUACACUAAAAGAAAAUCAUGAAAUAAAAACCAAUUUGUAGAAACCAAAAUAAUUAGUUGCAAUAGUAACUAAAUUAGAGACCAUUUUAGAAACUAACAAAAAAAUUGGUUUCUAAAUUAGUUUCUAUUAUUUUCUAUUAUUGUUAAAUAGUCUCUAAAUUAGUAUCUAAUUAGCAACCAAAGUUUUUGCUACCAAAUUUAGAAACUAAAUAAUUGGUAGUUAAAACAUUAGUUGCUAAUUAGAUACCAAUUUAAAAACUAUUUAACAAUAAUAUAAAAUAAUAGAAAGUAAUUUAGAAACCAAUUUUUUGUUUAGUUUCUAAAAUGAUCUCUAUUUUAGUUCCUAUUGUAACUAAUUAUUUUGGUCUCUAAAAAUUGGUUUCUAUUUCAUGAUUUUCUUGUACAAAUAGUAAAAGUCCAAUUGGGUCUAAAGUUCAAUAAGUGAGUACUAUAAACAGGUGAUCAACUCAAGAAGUAAGUAGAGUGAAUUCUAUCUUAUAAUUAACCAAAAUCGAUUAUGACUUUAUCAUCGGAGCUCCUUAUAGGUACACACAUCCGCCUGAGAGCUGACCUUGAGUCUAAAAGUCAAGAGUCCAAGUUGACUAAACCAGAAUCCGUCCAAGUCCAAACUAGUAAACAAUGUAGUUGAAAGUCCAAGCUUGAAUCAAAAGAUCGUGAAGCCAAGAAGUUAAGAGAAGAAGAAAUUCAUUGUUUUUAGGCCUUGUAAGAACAUUAUGAAUUGUUUUAAGCAUGACGAAAUAAACUUAAAAAGUUGUCAGUAGUCAAUCCUAAAAAACGUAGUUGAUAAAAUACGUUGAAGUUCAUUAAAAAAAACAAAGAUCUCAAUUAAACUAUUAAUGAAAAAAAUUAAAUAACCUAAUUAAUGCUUCGCGUUUAAUCCGGAAAAUAAAAUGAUGGUUUGAAGGAUUUGUUUAAAAAACAUGAUCAAAACACAUUAAAAAAUGAUAUAUUGACAACUUUCACCAGUCUACAACCUCAAUUUUUACCUAAAACUUGUAUCCGUUUAUGAAAUAACGAAAAUAACCUUUCUUUAUAUCAUCGAUCACUCGUUGAAUAUUGAAGCAUAGUUGUCAAAAUAUCAUUACUCAAGAUGCACAUGUAACCCUUGUUGAGAUGACGUGUCACAUCCCACCUUCUCUUCUUCUCUAUAAAAGCAUGAACACAUAUCACCAUUCAUACAUCAACCUAUACCUUACCCUUUCAUCUCUUCACACCCCAAAUCCCAAAACACCAUCACCAUGUCAAGCGUCAACACCAGUGCUUACACCACCCAACUCCGAGCCUCUCACUUGGAAGUACAGUUUGGGUACGAGGAGUGUUGCCGCAACCAUGCAGUGGCCGUAGGAGGAGCUUCCUACGAUGGCUGCAACGAGUAUCAGAAAGCAAGGUCGCAGAACUCUUUCCUCUGUGCAUGCUGUGGUUGUCACCGCAACUUUCACCGCAAACGCCCUACUUUGAAAAGAGAGCGCCGAACUGAAGCAGGGAAUGGUCGUGCUCUGGAUAUAGUUCCUGUUUCAGAGACGUUUCGCCCGGAGCGUAGCAACAACCCAGAGCCACUGCAGCUGGUGAGGCCACUGAGGAGGAGGAGGACGAGGUUCUCGCGCGACCAGAAGAAGCAAAUGACGAGGUUUGCUGAGAUAUUGGGGUGGAAACCUCACAAGGGUAACAGGGAGGAUAUUCAACGUUUCUGCACUGACAUGGGAAUAAGCCGGAAGAUCUUCGUGGUGUGGCUGAACAACAAUCGUCACCGUGCAACUCCGAAUGUGAGUGAUCCAUGAAGCAGUUAGAGGUUGAUGGUUGGAUCGGUCUUGGCACUUGGCAUUAAUAAGGAUUUUGUUUCCAUGUAUUGUUCCUAGUAUCAGUGUGUUUGUGUUUGUGUUUGUUCUGUGUUUUUCUUUUCAGUUUAUCUGUGUUUUCAGUGCUUUGACUUUUAGUGAUGUAGUCCAUGUGCCAUGAAUUUCUAAGUGAAUGACUGUUAUGUGUUUCAAAUGCAUUCUUCAUUUUCCUUCACUCUAUCUUCAACCUACCUCAAAAAUACUUCCUUAUUAACCGGAUCUAAAUUUUAUCUUAUAAGCCGAUUUUAUAAAGUUGUUGAGUUAAACUUAAAGUUCACUUCUUAAUAUAUAUCAGAGUCAUCUAAGGUUUAUCUCAAGAAAAUAUAUAUCAAAGUCAUCUAAAGUUUAUCUCAAAAAAAUAUAUAUCAGAGUCAUCUAAGGUUUAUCUCAAGAAGGGUUUGUUGAGCUUACAUUCCUUAUGUCAUCGAUGAAUGAUAAAUAUAUAAUCUUAUUAUACCAUUUUUAUUUUUUUAAUCUUUCUCGCUCUAAAUAGAAGUCAUGUCAAGUUUAUAUUAAAUUCUAAACACAUAUACAUAUUCAUUAAAAGAAAACUACUAAAUUAAAAUGAUUUUUUGUGGAAUCUUUCCUCCUUUCAUAAAAUCAAAGCUCACAAUUUAAUUUUUCUUUUGGAAAAAAAUUGUUUCACAAGCUCAACACUAAAAGAAUUUCAUUUAUAAUAAUAUAAUAUUAUUUUUAAUUAAAAAUAAAAUAAAAAUAACUGAAAAGAAUAAUUAUUGAAUUAUUAAGGGUGUGUAUUUAAUUUUUGGAGAGUCGAGAAUAAUCACUCUUUUGUUUUAUUAAAAACCGUCACCUUAUUGUCAUGACUUAUUAAAUUUUGUUUUGUCGUUUCUUCUUAAAAAAAUUAAAGUCAUAUGCACCAUUUACUUUAACGUGCCGGUAAUAUAAAUAUUAUGCUUGUUAUAUACGUUACUCGAUAACUAAAAUCCAAUACAAUUAAAUAGGAGAAAAAAAAUUAAUGAUUAAUGUGAUAACGGGUAAUUGAAUAUUUUUUUUAUAUAUUUUUCUUCAAGCUUAUUCAUACUCAUCAAUGUGGAAAAACUCACACUUAUAAUCCUAAUAUUAAUAUAUACUACAAUAAAAUCAUUAAAUAGUAACUAAAUUUAGAAGCAAAAAAUAAUAAUUAGUCACUAUAUUAACUAAAUUAAAUACUAAUUUAGAGAAAAAUUAUUCAUAUCUCAAGUGAUUUCUAUUAUCAGUAAAAAUUUAUAAAAUGAUUUAUGUAUUUGUAUCUAAAUUAGCUACCUAAGUUUUAGCGAUUGAUUUUUUAGAUUUUAAUUCAGUCUCUAAAAGAUUAAUAGAGACUAAUUUAGAAUAUAAGUAGUAAAUAGCUAAAAUUUUGGUAGGUAAUGGUUAGAUACCAAUUUAGAAACCAUUUUAUAAAUUUGUAUUAAUAAUGGAAACUAUUAUAGAUACCAAUAGUUUUUUUAGUUUAUAAAAUAGUCUCUAAUUUAAUGAAAUAGUAACUAAUUAUUUUGAUCUCUAUAAUUAGUUUCCAUUUUAUGAUUUUCUUGUAAUAAUAUUAGAUAAUAAAAAAGCGUAACAAUUCAAGAUCAAAAAAUACUAUCCAAAUUGAAAAAUCAAUACAAAUAUAUAGUUUCAUCUUGUCGUACAAUCUCUUAGUCAUGUACAUCUUGUUUCUCUCAAAAAGCAUGUCUAAAAAACAACCAUAUAUUAUCGAAUAUGAAUCUACAUAAUUGAAAUAUUGAAUAUACAUUUUUCAUUUUCUUUCACUCUCUCUUCAAAUGACCUUAAAAUAACAUUCUCUUUAACUUCGUUAUUUGUUUAUUUAAUUUGGAUGAGCACCAUUUCUAUUUUCUUAAUCUUUGUCAUUCUAAAUAGAAGUCAUGCCAAGUUUAUAUUAAGUUUGCAUUUGUAUCUCAUUUGUUUUACAUUGAAUUUGACAUAUUUAUUAUAAGAAAAUCAUUAAAUAUAAACUAAUUUUAAAAAUAAAAAAUAUUUUUUAUUAUAUUAUAAUCUUGUUUAAAAUAAAAUAUUGUAUUAUAAGAAAAUAAUAAUUUUUAUGGAUGCUGAGUGAAUAGAACUAGUGUUAAGGUAUCAUUACCCAAAAAAAAAGAAUGAAAAUGUCAUAAUAAGAUUUUGAUGGUGAUAGAUUGACACAACAAAUAAUAAAAAAUAUGAACUAACAAACCAAUAAAUUAAUAUUUUAAUAUGUUUAAUUUAUUUUUUAAUUUAAAAUAUUAAUAUAUUAUUAUAAUAGGCUGUCGAGUACAUGUGAUUUACUUUUUUGGUGUCAAAGUAAUCUUUUACACAAAAUUGUCCUCUUUUCAUAAAAUGAAUCCCACAAUUUAGUUUUUUUUUUUUGAAAAAAAAUUGCUUCACAUCCUCAACACUAAAAAAAAAAUCAUUUAUAGCAAUAUAAUAUUAUUUUAAAUUAGAAAUAAAUAAAUAUAACAACAAAAAUAAUUUAUUGAGUUAUUAAGUAAUUGUAUUUAUUUUUUGGAGUGUUAGAGAAUCAUCACUCUUUUCUUUUAUUAUAAAUCGUCACCUCAUUAUCCUGACUUAUUAAAUUUUAUUUUGCCGUUUCUUCUUAUAAAAAUAAAGUCAUAUGCACCGGUUUACUUAGCGUGUCGUUUAUCAAAAUAUUAUACCUGUUCUUUACUUUACUCGAUAACUAACAUUCAAUACAAUUAAAUAGGAAAAAAGUAUAACGAUUCAAGAUAUAUUAGAUAAUAAAAAGUAUAAUGAUUCAAGAUCAAGAAAUACUACCCAAAUUGAAAAACAAUAAUAAUAAAUAGUUUCAUUUUCUACUACAAUAAUUUCUUAGUCAUGUACAUUUUCUUAAGAGUGAAGUCCUAAGUUCCUCUCAAAAAAUAUUUUAAAAACAAUCAUAUAUUAUCCAAUAUGAAUUUAUAUAAUUGAAAUAUCAUCCAUGUAAAUUUCAUUAGACUUUAGAUCAUUUAUCGAUAUGUGCGUAUCAUGCCAUAUUAAUAUUCAUUGUAUCCUUCCAAAUUUUUUUUCAUGACCCAUGCUUUUGUGUUUUUUUUUUUUUUUUAAUUUUAGGUUUUUCUUUUCAUGUGACGACACAAUUUAACACUACGAAACACUACGAAACAAUCAUUGUUAAUUUUAGAGACAAGAAACAAUUAGUCAUUGACUAAAUAUUUUAGAAACUACAAAAUUAUUGAUAUUCAAAGUAAUUUCUAUUAUUAAUAAAAAUGUAUAAAUUAUUAUCUAAAUUAGCUACCAAGAGUUUAGUUAGUAAUAUUUUAGAUUUUAAAUUAGUCUAAAAAAUUAUAGAGACUAAUUUAUAAUAUAAAAUAUUUAGUAGCUAAAACAUUAGUAAUUAAUAGUUACAUACCAAUUUAGAAACUAUUUUAUAAAUUUUUAUUAAUAAUAAAAAUUAUUUUAAAUAUCAAUAAUUUUUAAUUUAUAAAGUUAUAUCUAAUUUAGUUAAUAUAAUAAUUAAUUAUUUAAUUUUUAUAAUUAGUUUUUAUGUAAUGAUUUUUUUGUUGUAAUGUUAUGUCUUGUAAUUGAAUAUAGUUUUAUGAAAGUAAAAUUAAGAAAUUAUGUAGCUGUUUUUUAGUUGACGAAGUUUUAAAGAAAUUAUACGGUCAUCCAUUUUAAUAAAUAAAAAUUAAUAUAAUUUGAUAAAGCAUAAUUAUCUAGUACAAAUAUAUUAAAAUUGGUUAAAAAAUUAUGUUUUUUAUACAAUAAUAUAAAUAAUAACUCAAUUAAAUAAUGUGAAUAGUGUAUUUUCUUAAUAUAAUAGUAUAAAUAAUAAUAAUAAUUUAAAUUAAUUAUAUGAAUAUUUAAUUAUAAUUAUUAUGUGCACUAAAAUUAUUAAAUUGGGUAAUAAAUUUAUUUAUACUAACAAUAUACAAAUAAGCUUUUAUAAUAAUAUCAACAAUGAAAUUAAUUGAAAGCUUGCAAAAAAUUAAAUUAAGUUAUAAUCUAAAAUCAAUUCAAUAUCUGUGUUUUUAUUUAUUUUUAAUGAUCAUUAAAACUAUUCUUGUAUAAUUUGAAUUAAUAUUUUUAAAUUUAUGUGUUUUUUUAUGACAUAGACAAUAUAGAGUUCCAAAUUGACAUCGCAAGAUCCAGCGUGGCACCAUGCUAUUGGCUCAGUACACGUAUAUUCCAAUUUUUUUUUUAUUUUGCGAAAUCAUUUUAUUAACCUUCUUAGUUCUAUAAAAUUCAACGUUCAUCACUCAGCAUUCAUAUUUGUUCAUUUCUGAAUUCAGAUCGAAAGGUAGAAGAAAAGGAGAGAGAAUGGACGCCAUUGAUUCCGUCUUCGAUCCCCUCAGAGAAUUCUCCAAGGACAGUGUCAGACUCGUCAAGCGAUGCCACAAACCCGAUCGUAAAGGUGUAACCCUAACCCUAACAUUUCUCCAUCGUUUUCCUUGAUUCCUAAUUUUUUUUUUGUUUUUCUAAAUAAGAUUGAAUCUAUGUUCUGUGGAUCUUGAUUGAUUGGAUGGUUUGGGUGUUUCAGAAUUCUCUAAGGUUGCUGUGCGUACCGCGAUUGGUUUCGUUGUGAUGGGAUUCGUCGGUUUUUUUGUCAAGCUCAUCUUCAUUCCAAUCAACAACAUCAUCGUCGGAUCUGGUUAGGUAAAUUAUAACUUUCUCAGAUUUGUUUUCAUUUAUAGUUUUACCCUGUUAUUCAUUUGUCCUGCUUGGACCUCUGUCUUUUAUAUUGUUUUUGAAGCUUGGAGACUGAUCUGAUUUUUUUGUUACAAUUUAUUUGGUAAAUUUUGAAUUUUUCAUAUUGGGAUUGCUUGUUUGGUUGAGUUGUUAUUCAGAAGCAUUGUUGACCAUGUUGUGCUGGCGUGGUAUAUUGGAACGAUCUGAUAUGAAGGUUUAAUUGAAUCAGGGAUUUAGGGUAGUUAUUUGUAAAAAUAUUCGGUGCUGCUUAUGGUUACAUUUAUAGUGUAAGGCAUAGAAUGAUGAGUUAAUUGAUCGCAUUAUAUGGUGAACUUUUUACUGCAACUAUUUCUAAAUGAACAGAUAUGGCAAUCUGGUGCAGUGAUUUAUUAAAGAACAUUAAUCUGUUAGUGUGCAUAUUUUCAUGUUUUAAUAUAUGGGGAGUUUCUGCACUGUUACAUGUAUGUGAGAUUAUGCAUGAUUAUUUCUCAGUACCCUGUCUUUGCUACCGGUUUCAUUCGGAGCAUGUAAUUGCUAUCUAUGUUUUAGAUGAGAGUGCUUGGUCUGAACAUUGUUGAGGAUUUUAUUUUCUUCUUGGAAUAUGUAUACUCUUUGAAAACCAGCUUCGGUAGAUUGUCUAGUUUUUAUUAUCGAUUUAAUGCUGUUUUUCUUUAUUUUCUCUGUUUUGAGAUGUUGGCUGUUAGUGAAACUGUGUCUUUAGCUAAGUGUGCAAAAUGGAUGAUAAAUAACCCUUGAUUAUUCCGCAGGAUGAGGGGAAUUUUUCAAUUGCCUCAGGAGUCCAAGUUGUCAAACAUGAAGAGGCAGAAAGAGUUCCCACUUUGUUAGGUCAUCAUGAACUUAAUUGUAGUUUUUUUGUACUCUAUUUUUGGUGUACACUUGUAUCUUAUCUUCGGAAGCUUUACAGUUUUAUUUGAAAUAUACAAUUUUAUUCUUCCGUGUUAGACCCUUGACACAUUGUUUUGAUUCAGGAGGAAAAGGAUGAAAAAAGUAGUUGAGAAACUAUUCUUUUGGUUUUGAUUCUUUGAACUUCGCUUUCUUAGUCUUUUUAGAUAUUUUAGAGCAAAAAAUAAGAAAGUCCACACCCAUUGAUGAGGUGGAACUUGUAUAAAUAAGUUGCCAAGAACAAAAUAAAUUUAAAUUAACUCGAACUGUUUAAAUGUUGAUAGGCAAUAACAGUGGUAAUUAUUCUUCACCUCCUUUUCUUAAGGAUCCAUAUUUUUUGUACUUUGACAUACUGCUGAAAGUUACAACAUAGAACCCAAUUAUAUGUAAAAUAAGUUAAAUACUUGAAAUCAAAAGAAAAAAAUAUAAGAAGGUUACAGAACCAGAAGUUUUCUUCAUAAUCUGUGACAUAUAUUUGUUUGAGUAAAAAUCUGGUGUUGUGUGUAAAGAUUUCCCGUUUUAAAGUCGUGCUGGUGAGGUUCACUUACAGGGAAAUUAAGGGGGUGGGUGGCGGAGAUAACCCAAUGGUGUCAGUGCAGCGUCUGUUACGCUCUCAAAUUCACAUUCAAAAAUGGGUUCCCUUAACCCAUUGAAACAACCCAUCCAUAUCUCCUUUACUCCUCUGGGAGAAAAAAUCAGAAAAAUAACAGCUAUAAGAGGCCAAUAAGUAAAUAAUCGUCUUCGUCUGCUCUCUGCGACAACCAUGUGCUAGUUAUCUGCUAUCUGCUACAACCAUGUGUCACUUAUCUGCUAUCUGCUACAACCUUAUGCCAGUUAUCUGCUAUAACCGUAUGCCUGCUAUCUGCUAUAACCCCAAAAUGCUCCAUGGCUUUUUCAAAAACAAUUCUCAUAGCUUAUAUUCAAUCACACCAGCAUAACCUACCCAAAAUUAUUUUUUGGAGUAAUCAGUAAAUCACAUUUGCGCAUUCACUUAAAAUGGUGUGGUUAAAUGAAGACUGAAUGACUCAAGUGUGUUUGCACUCUGAUAUACCGAAGAACAAAAUAUGAACAGUUGGGUCAUCAUUUAACGAUUCAAUUCAAGUGAAUAUGUGAUGUCGCAAGAGUUUUGAAAUCUUAAUUUCCCACUCUUUAACAGGUAGAAUUUGGGUCUGAUUCAUGUCGAUGGACUUCCACCAUUAGUCUGUACCAUUGGAAAAUUUCACUACUAAGGCUUAAACUAGUGUUAUAUAUUCAGAUGUUAAGAUCAAGUAACUUCCCUUUUCUCUGAAACUUUGUUGAAUUCAAUAAAGAAACAAGGUAUUAUUUGUUUUGUAUACUCAAUUAAUCAUUUUGUAUAAAAUAAAGAAACAAGGUGAAGGACACAGACAUGUCAAGUCCAACAGCACCACCACACUACCAAGAAUCCAAAUGGAAGAGAGCCACAUAGAUAGUAAUGAAAUGCUGUACAUAUUAAGUAAAAAAAAACAAUAAAAACACCUUGUUUCAACCAAAUAUUUUUAUACAUCUUUUUAAUUUUCUCAAGUAAGUAAAGAAUGGAAAUAAUUAACAUGCAAAUAUCACUUUUGGCAUGAAUUAAACUAAAAGGAAAAAGGGAAAGAGAAGUUUCAUAAUGAUAUGAUUCCUGUCAUGAGCAUCCCCUUAAAGCUUCGUACGUAACCAUCACGUUUGGCUUGGUACGAAUGUUUGUAGUGCAUGCCCCAUUACCCAAACCUGAAAUCUGAAACCUGAAACAUAUAACAAAAUCCCCAAUUUUUUUAAUUGGGAAAUUGAAUCACUUUUGACCGUUGACUGAAACGAGUUGGAUGACCAACCCGUUCAAAGCGAGUCAACUCAUCUCAAUUUGAGUCAAUCCAAUGUAACAUCAUCCAAAACCUCCCUAAUGGUCAUGGAUAUCUUCCCACUUGGGACACCAACACCGUCUACCUCACCCACACCGUCUACCUCACCACCGUCUACCUCACCCUCUUCUUCUGCUAUACACCGAAUUCGUUUCUGAGUUUGCCAAACACUACCCAUCAUCACCUUCCUCUUUCUCAACCAAUCCAACCCCUUCAAAACGCACGUCCAAACGGGGACCCUCACUCGUUUCACCACACAAUUUUCCAUUCCCAUAACAACUUCAGCAGCUGAAGGACGUUCAUCUUCAUUCUCUGACACACAACGUGAAGCAUAGCGUAACAAGCGAGUGAUUGUUCCAACCAUGUAACCCGGCAGUGCCACUCUGUCGUCACAAAUCUCUUCCAAAAGUUCUUCACCCAUUAACUGAAUCGCCCAUUCCACAACCGAAGCCGGCGUUUUGCACGCAUCAAUGGCCUUUCUGCCACUUAUGAUCUCCAACAACACAACCCCAAAGCUAAAAAUGUCGUUUUUCGUGCUGAGUCUCUCUGGGGUGGUGUAACAGGGGUCCAAGUACCCUAUUGUCCCGGCGGGUUGACUCACCGAGUCAACCCCUCUCACCGCCAGUCCAAAAUCUCCCAACUUCGCAUUCCAACUUGAAUCAAACAAUAUGUUGGUGGGUUUGAUGUCUCUGUGAAUCACCACAGGCUUAGCUUGGUGAAGAAACUGCACCGCACGAGCGAUUUGCAGGGCGAUUUCAACGCGUUUGGGCCAUGUGGGUGGGGUUUCGUUGGAAUGAAGCAGGUCAUGGAGAGAGGCAUUGGGCAUGAACUCCAUCACAAUGAGUUUGUGGCUGUGAUCAUCAUCACCACUGGUGGUUCCUAGAAGAUUAACCACAUGAGGGUUUUCGGGUAGAGAGGAAAGAACUCGGAUUUCGUUUUGGAGUUUGGAGUUAUCGUGAAGAGAUUGAAGGCCCUGUGAUGGCUUCUUUACAGCGACCACUCUGUAGCUGUUGUUCUCUUUGAACUGAACAACGCCUUUGUACACCAUGCCAUGGCUUCCUUUCCCUACCACCCUUCUGGGGUUGAAGUUUUCUGUUGCUUUCACAACCUCUUCAUACUCAAACUCUUCCAUCGUUUCACUGUUUCUUCUUUCAAUGGUGUUUUCUUACAAGGAGUGGAAUAUCUACGACUAAAUGCAGAGAGGAAAAGAAAGAAAUAUUGAACAUGAGAUUGUUAGAAGACAAAAGUAAUGUUUUAAGAACACGAAAAAGGAUCUUCCCAAUAAGAUAAUUUAUUUUGUUUUUAGUAAGAUGAGGCUUUGAGGAGUUAAAACAACACCUUAAUAAUAUAUAACUGUUAAAGUGUAAGGUAUGGUUUAAUCAAUUUUACACUGUACACUUUUUACAGAGUACUUAUUUUAGUGUUUUAGGUCCAUAAACAAACACAAAUAACAAAAAAAUGAAAAACUGAGAUUUGAAGGAAGGAAUGUAAAAUGUACCUAUACAUCAGCAAUUUCACUUACUAUCAAGACCUGUCUUUGUGUUUGUGUUUCAAUAUGAAUAUGAAGAUGCAUUGAUUAGCUUUUUGUAGAACACAGAGGAAUAAAGGUGCUUUGGAGAGGUAAGAGAUAAUUAAAAUUAUGAUGGGAGAAUUAUUGAGAAAAGGAAAAGUUAAAGAAAAAGCUAAGAGUUUGUGGGAAGAAAAGGUAUCCUCUUUGGCAAAGGGACAGGGCUUAUUGGGUCCCCUUUUUCAAUUCUUUGGCUUCUUUAUUUCAACUUUUUUUAACUUUUUUCUCUCCCACUUUGCACAUUAGCUACCAUGUUAUGUUAUGUACUGUGAUUUCUGUUUUUGUCCACACAGUUACUGUUAUUUAUCAUAGGAAAAAGCAGUCAGAAUCCUUAGCUAAUUAUGUAUCCCAAAGACAUACCUUAACUUUUUAUAUCAAUCACUUAUGUAAAAGGAAAGCAAGGCAUCCAAGGAGAGAUUAGGAAUGUGUAAAGCAAAACAGAUUAUGCCAAACUCGUUUAUUUAAGAGCCAUUUAUCAUUUAUUGUGUCAAAUUAUCUUGUCAUGGAGACAUUAAAACACUUAGAUAACAUUCAGAAUUCACUUCUCCUACCCAAAUUUAUACAAUUUUUCUGAUGGAAGGUACUGAACAGAUGAUUUUAAUUAUCUGAUCUGGCAUAUAUAAGGAGAGGUUUCUGACUAUUUUUGGCAUUUCUGUUGUCUACGGAAGUGAUUUGAAGGGAAUAAUACUUUGACAAUAGGUCACCCAACACAACUUUUAAAUCCAACUUUGCUCUUGUUUUUUUUUUCAAAAAAAAUUCAUAGGAGCUUAGUGUCCCUUUUAACUACUGCAGAGGAGCUGGUGUUGGCGUUAUGGUGGAAGAAAUGUUUCACUCUUAGUUGCUGUGCACAUUGUUUUGAGAUAAUACGAAUACAUGAAUUUGGAAGGCAAUGUGAGUAUCUCCGAAUAUAAAAAUCGUGUAAUUUUAUUUUCAGUUUAAAGUUUCGAAUGCACAUGUUUGAAAGUGAAAUAUGAAUUUCGGAUACCUAUAUCCGGAUGAAUAUCCAUAAUGGUUUUUUGGGUUCCGAAUUGUUAUAUUCGGAAGGUUUAUUGGCUGCUGGGUGUUGGAUGCAUUUAAAUGUAACCUAGUCUCAUUUAAGGGUAUUAUAGUAAUUUUACAUGACCAUGGAUGCCAAUCUGAAAUAAUAUGGUGUAGGAGAAUCAGCCUAGGUCAGUUACAGUGUGCAUGACUUAUUGGGCCUGGUCCAAUUUUUCUUUCUGCAAUUUCAGCAAGGAUAAUUACUUUCUGCACCUAAUCAAAUUUGAACCCGCACCUAAUCAAAUAAAGUGACCCACCACAACUCAUUCCCUCCCAAUUAUAAAUUGGUAAAAAAAGAGAGUAAAAAGGUUUCAUUAGGGUCCAUGUAUCUUUUAAGAGGGUUAUCUUAUCUGUGUUACCUUUAUGUUGUUCAACAUUUAAGGACUUUUUGUCUUAGACUCUGAACAUGUUACACGUUUGAUAAGGACCAUUAUCCUCUUUGUCAGGAAGAAACAAAAACUGUAAUUGGGCUAGCAGACUUUGGCCCAAAUUGAUUUGGGCUACAUUCAUAAUGCAUUGAGAACUUUAAUUAAUUAAUUUGGGUAGAAUCCAUAAUUAUUUACAAUUUUAAGUUUUUGGAAUUUGGUAAUGUAGAAGAAGUAUGUGUGUUGGUGAGAGAAGAUAGGAACAAAAUAAAUGAAUGUGAAUGGUAGAGUAGACUUUCAAUACCUACCAUAUAUCAUACUAACUCAAUUAUUGCAAUACUUAAAUAUACUUACUUCUUCACUCCUUAAAAACACCAUAAAUUAAAUUCACCUUCCAAGGACUUGCUCUUUGAAUUGACUCCAAUUUUAAAAACUAAUACAAUUUAAUUAAGAUAAAAUCGUGUUAAAAUAAACUUUUUUAAUGGUAAAGCACUAAAUUUAUCAAUAACAAUUACUAAAAACAAAAAAAUUAGAUCCAUAAAUUCAAAUAUUUCCACCACCUGACCGUGUGAUAACUAGAAGCUAAAUACCUGGUCAGAGUCAACCAACACAACUGAAUUCCUUAUGUCUAAAUAGAAGAUUAACAAGACUAAUCAGUAGUAAACAUUAGGUAGUGGUAAAACAUUAGGUAAUUUCUUAAUUAUGAUCUAAACCUCUAAUCCGGUCCAAUAAUAAAAGAUUAAUGAUAAUUAUAUAAAUAAGUACAAAUUUUAAAAAUAAGAUACAUCAUCAUUCAAUAUAAUAAUAUCGAGUACCGAAUAUCGAAAUCUUACUUUAAUGUUAGAGUGCUUUUUGUAGAUAACAUUCUAACUUAGUGUUCACGAGAACGAUGAGAAGUAAUGGAGAGUAAGAAAAACUCGAAAAUUUUGAAAAAAAAAAGAAAGAGAGGUAAAACAACCAAUUGAAAACAAAAUAGUAAACAUGAUGGUUUGAAUAUUUAAAAUGAUAAAUGAAUUAAAAUUGUUUAGUUAUUGAAUAUUUUGAUUAGUUAAGAAGAUUAUGCAUGAAUUGUUUGUUCCAUGUAAGUGGGAAUAAUAGAGGAGGAGUGGGGUGGCCCACUUCCACACAUGAUAAUUCGUUUGCUUCAAUUCUAUAAUUCGCGAGUGAUUCACACGCUCUAUAUAUUCGCGUCCCCUGCAUUCCAUUGCUAUUCACGAUCACAUCAAAAUAUAAAAUACAAAUAAAAUAAUUAAAUCAGUAGUACUUUGUACACAUAUCUUUUAUUUUUUUAAGGCGUGUUAUAAUUUUAAAUUAAACAUUAUAUAUGUAUAUGGAAUGGGUACUUCAUUCUCUUCUAAUACGUAUUCUUGCAUUUUUAUACUCUUUACGGCAUCUUUUUAUAAACAAAUAAUUGAUGGAAUACAAUGGCACUAACAUUAGUUUCUUAUUAAAAAAAAGUACUUUUUUAUAAAUGAUAAAAUUUAUCUUUUAUUUGCAAAUUUUAAAUUCAAAAUAGUUGAGAGUAAAUAUGUAUUUUUGUAAUUUUAUUUUAUAAUUAAUAAUUGGUAUGAAAAUAUGUGAAGGUUUCAAAUAGAUAUUAUUUAACUAUUUGGAAACAUUUGUUUGAUUUAAUCGGAAGAAAUGAUAAUAUAUUUGUUCUCGAAAAGGGUUGAAACCAAGAGAACUAUUGAUUAUUUUUCGGUUGGUCUAUCUUUUCACUCCACUUUCUCGUGCUCCUUUCGUUUCUCUACUCCUCGUCAUCGUGAACUCCGAGUUUGGAUGGUACCUAUAAAAGACACUCUUAUGCUUAAGUGAGAUUUUGAUGUUUGGUACUCAGUGUUGUUAGUACUGUGUGAUGACGUACCUGAUUCUUAAAAUUUGUACCUAUUUAUAUUAUUAUCAUGAAUUCUUUGUUAUUGAACCAGAUUACGGAUAUGAGUCGUAAUUAAGAAUGUAUUGUCUAAUGUUUGAUCAUUGAUUAAUCUUAAAAAAAGGGAUGAUUUUGAUUGACUUUGAUUAAAUACUGAACUUUCAUCGGAAGAUGUAAAUUGUUAAUAAAACAUAUUUUGUCUUUAAAAAACAUAAGUGAGACAGGUACAUGGAUUAACCUUAAACUUAAAUUGAAUCCAUGAUGAGAAAAGACAAUUGAAGUAUGAGUAGGUCCUAUGCAAAAGUGUAAGCAGCAAAAUCUGAAAUGGGCCUCACCAAAAUCCCUUUUCAGUAUGAAUGGAUAAAUUUGAAAGACAUAGAAAAAUAUGAAAUAUAGAUGCAUUAACCAAGAACACAGCAAGAACAUCAUAGUAACUAAUAAAGAAAUGGCAAAAACAACAGAGAAAGGUGUGCAAAGCUGACGUUGCACAGAACAUACAUUUAUCCCCUCUAUACCAUGUACAGGGAGAAGACUCAAACUAUGAGAACUGAAAAGUUUCUCAAUUUUUGCAGCUUUUAUUUUAUUUUAUUUGACCCUUUGUUUCCUUGGAUCCAUGCACAUUUUCUUCACUUACUAUCUAACUUUGCCUCCCUAUAACUUUGAAAUUCUUUUACUUUCUAAACAAAUAAAUCGAAUCUAAACUAAAAAGAAUGACAUAGAGAAAAAAAUGCAAGAGAAUAUUUUCCCAACAUUCAAAACUUAGUUCAUAAGCUUUGUUUCAUGAAGUUUGGGAGUUGGAGUGCCAUAAAAUGUAUGAGUUAUUUGAAGAAGUAUUUUGCAGAAACUAUUAAGAAGUAGACUUUAAGUUCAACUUAAUCUCAUAAAAUCGACUCAUAAGAUGAGAUUUACAUCUACUUAUAUAUUAUGAAAUGUCUUAAUCUCUAGUUAGUGUGAGAUCUUCAACACAUCUUUCUCACACGCUGAGACUACCAACUCGUGCAUUACACUAUAUAUUAUGAAUGAUCCGAUAACGAUCUGAUAGCGAGUGACCUGAUAAGUCCAACAAAAAAUUACUAGUAGGAUAGACUCAUACCAUAUUAAAAAGUGAAAUUUAGGUAGAUAUAGGAAUUGUGUAGAAAAGUUGAAACUGGAUGUGUAAAAGUUGGUUUGAUUAGAUAUUCUUGCAUGGCUAUAUUUGGCAAAGAAAAGCUUGGUUAGUGGUAAGAUGAGAUUUAAAAAAGGAAAGGAAGUAGGAACAGAAAGAAAUAAAGAUUGGCACUGAAAUAGCACUGAUAGGACAUGGUAAACUUAUUUUUAGCAGAGGGCACAGAUUUAAAUAACACUAAUUUAAUGAUCCUCAUUCAAAUGCCUCAGAUUUCUCUGACACCAUCAUUUUUAAACCUCACGUAAUAUACAUUCACAUUUCACCACUCUUUUUUCAACUUCUUCCAAUUUCUAUCAGUUCUAUCAUGUGCAACAAAAUUGAACAAUAAUAAUAGAGCUGAAAUGGAGAAGUCUCUGUCAAAGGUGGUGUGAUGUAUGAACAGUAAUUUUUACUGUGAGUGUCCUCAUGCAGCAGGCACUACAGUAAAAUCAACACUGAUUUACCACCAUACCCUUCAACAGUGAAUUACAGAUUUGUUCAUUGUUUAUGUAUUAGUUGUGAUCUCAAUCAUGAUAAUGGCAGAUUUGUUGAAUUUAAUAGAGAUUAAAGGUGUGGUUAGUAGAUUUAAUUAUGUGAUUAUUAUCUGUACAAACUGAAAUACUAUAAUAAACUAAGAGGGUCCAGAUUGGAUUGUAAUUUUCUUUUUGUUUUGUUAAUGCAGUGAUUGGUUUUUGAACAAUUUUCUAAAUUUUGAUGCAGAAUAAUAUAGUGGCUGGAAAUAUAAAAAAGUAAAAGUGACAGAGACAGCAUCAAGUACUUUUUUCUAAGUUUGGUUACCAAAAUUGUGACAGGACAAAAUUGUACAUUUCAUUAAAAUACAACUCAAAGACUUGCACAAUUUUCUCUUAGUUUAUAUCAAUACAGAAAACUUUUCAUCCAAUUGUGAGAAUCAAAAGGGUACAACUUAUUUUAUUUCUCCAGCUGGAAAACAUUAUGGAAAGUUUUGAAAGAAGAAUUAGUCAAAAAAGUGUUGGUGGAAGGUUUUGUUUUCCCUUCUUUUUUACACUUUUUUUUUCUCCAGAUGUAGGAGUUAAUGGAAUAUUUACAUAGAAGGGUUUAGACGUAAACAUGGAAAUUAGGUAUACAUAAUACCAGAAUUAUACAAUGUAUAAGUAUAUGGAAAGUUGAAACAUUUGAAAUGAUUGCAUAACGGUCCUAACACGUGGCAUGUGAAAUCUAUGAAUUUUGAUUUACCCUAUUUAUAAAGGUUCAAACUAAUUGCACCCUACAUUUAUGCUAAUGUUCCAUUAUUAGUUAUCUUUCUUUCUUUUAAAGUUUUAUAUAGAGUUUGUGACCAUGUUAAUGGUUUUCACAUAAGUAUUAUUGAUUUUUUAAACCUGUUAAAUAUUGAACAAUCGAACAAUCGAGAAAGUUGAUAUGCUCGAACCAAAGGACUCUCUUAAUUCAAACACAGUUCGUAAAUCCACAGUUAAGCAUAGUUAAGUCGGUUUAAUUGUAAAUAAUGAUUAAGGUAUGAUGGGUCUCUCUUUUGAACCCACAAGCAGGCCCAUGAAAGCUGAAGCCCAUUCAAAAGGUAUAAAUAUCAAAAGAGACACGGGCGUCAAAGAUAAUUUUUUCUAUCUCGACUCACCUGCACAUUGUACUUGGACUAACUUGAUCGUCCAAGUGUCUUUGCAGGUUUCCUUCACUCAUCUCGAUGAAAAGAAUAAUCAAUCAGAGACCAUCGUGUCUGGAGACUGUGAAGACUAAAAGAAGGAGACUAAAGAAGUCAAUGUAGGAGGAAUCCGACUUGUAUGAAGAGAUAUGAAAAUAAGGUGCAUGAUUUGAUUUGAAUUAUUGGUGGAUUUGAAGGUGAAAUGGUUGUUGUAUGGUUUGAGAUUGUUGAGUGAUGUAUGUAGUAGGCUAAGACAUUUUAGUGAUAAAGGUUCCAGUUUUAGUUAGUGAAUAUGACAUGAGUGGAAGAUGAAGUUUAUUUUAGAUGGGAUUAAAAGAAUAUAAAGGUUGUUUGAGAAGUUGUAGCAUUUUGUGACGUUGAUGAAGGAGGGGCCAUUUCUGUCUUUCUCAAUCAUCCACUCAUCAAAAAAGUGGAGUGCCCAGUCACAUAACAGAUGCUUUUUCUCAUGCUCACCUCUGCCUGUGCUGGAUGGAGUAUUCUCUGUCCUAUUCUCUUCUCUAUUCUCUCCUGUAUUCUACCGUAUUCUGUUGUGUAUAUUGUAUGAUAUUGUACAUACAGACUAUAGCACAUUAACCAUCUCACCCACCCUGAACUCGUAUUUACUCUUUUUUCUAUUGUUUGUUGUGUUGCAAAAGAGUUAUGAACAGUGAAUGUGAUUUUGUGGUGAAUGAAAGGUUUGAAGGAGUGAAGAAACCCCAUUUGUUUUACGAGACCCCACGAGUGGCCUUUGUUUCUUCUCUCUCUCUCUGAGAACACAGCACAGAGCACAGAACACAGAGAGGAAGACAAGAGUCAAUGAAAACCCCACAAACUGAGAGUCUUAGUUGGUCCAAACACUCUUCAGAUUUAAAAACUCUUUCUCUUUCUUUCUCUCUCUGAAAAAGUUGAUCUUUCUGUGUCUAUCUAAAAAGGGAAGAAGAAGAGAGAAUGGAGUUGGAAGAGGAAAACAAAACAUGAUUCAUCAUCUCAUCCCAUUCCAUUCCAUUCCAUUACCAUCAAACAAAAAACAUACAAAAUAAAAAAAUAAACACAACAAGGUAAGACCCUUCCCCACCAAAUGGAACUAUCAGAUUUGCAAAACAACAAGCAGAACACCACCACCAACACCAACAACAGCACCAACACAAAAACAAACACAGUACGAGGUGGUGCUGCUGCUGGUGGUGCUGGUGGUGGUGGUGCCCAUCCCAACCAUCACCACCAACAAUCCUCUUCUUCCCAUCUUCAGCUCCCUUUUGAUGCCAGGACAAACCCUUCAUCCACCUUCCUCUCUUCCUCCACCUCUUCUUCUUCCACCAAUUCUUCCUCCUCUUCCUCCUCCGCCUCCGCCUCUUCCCACAUCAUCGACGCUUCCCUAGCCAUCGCCACCAUAUCUGAUGAUUCCGCCAACAAGACCCAACAGCUCUCCACCGCCGCCGCCGCCGCCUCCCCCGCCGCCAACCCUCCCAAGCGAUCUACCAAGGACAGGCAUACCAAAGUCGACGGCCGCGGCCGCAGAAUUCGAAUGCCCGCCACCUGCGCCGCCAGGGUUUUCCAAUUGACCAGAGAAUUGGGCCACAAGUCCGACGGCGAGACCAUCGAGUGGCUCCUCCAGCAGGCCGAGCCCGCCAUCAUCGCCGCCACCGGAACCGGCACCAUCCCCGCUAAUUUCUCCACGCUCAACGUCUCGUUCCGCAGCAGCGGCUCCACGCUGUCGGCGCCGCCGUCGAAGUCCGCCCCGCACACCUUCCACGGCGCGCUCGCACUCGCUCACCACCCUUACGAGGAGGCCUUUCAACACACCGCUUUGCUUGGCUUCCACGCUCACGCUCACCAGCAGCACCAGCAGCACCAGCUUCUUUCCGCAGAUCAAAUCGCGGAAGCGCUUCCCAGCGGUGGCGGCGACUCCGGCGACGGCUAUCUCAGGAAACGCUACCGCGAAGAUCUGUUCAAAGACGAUAACAUUAACACGCAAUCACAGAACGAGAGCGGCGACGGUUCUUCGCCGAAAACUCCGAACCUACAGCUACCGAAGCAGCAGGCUCAGCAGCAAACCGAAGCUGGUCCUGGGCUUCUCAGGCCCACGAAUUUGCUACCCGCGACAGCGAUGUGGGCCGUGGCACCCGCUCCCGCAAGCGGGCCUCCCGGCAGCACAAUUUGGAUGCUUCCGGUAACCGCGGCUUCUUCUGCUUCUGCAGCAGCUGUAGCUGCCGCUUCAGCUUCUGCUUCUUCUGGUGGUGGUGGAUCCACUGCGAGUUCGGAGACUCCGAUGUGGCCUUUUCCUCAGAGUGGUUUCAUGCCAAGGUUCAAUCUUCCGAGUGCCCUUGAAUUCCAAGGCGCACGUGGGGGUUCUCUGCAACUGGGGUCAAUGUUAAUGCCGCAGCAACCUUCUCAACAUCUGGGUCUCGCCAUGUCCGAUUCCAACUUCGGCAUGUUGGCUGCGCUCAAUGCUUACACCAGACCUGGUUUCAAUAUUAAUUCUGACAAUCAUCAUCACCAUCAUCACCAUCAUCAUCCCUUGGACCAUCAAAAUCAACAUCAACAUCAACAUCAACCUCAACCUAGUGAGAGUGGAGAAGAUGAUCCUAAUAGCUCCCAGUGAACUCUCAAAUUGGUUAGUUGGUUUCGUUUUCAUCUGUAGAUUCUGUGGCUGUAAAUAUGUCAAAAUUUCUAUAUAUAUUGUAUUUUUAAGUUGUAAUUUGAGGAGGAGGAGCUACAGUUUGAUUAUUGGAUUUCUGUUUCCCUUUUCUUUUCUUGCAGAUUGGAAGUUGAGUUGAAUGAAUUUGUGAUAAGUAAUGCUUUUGAAAAAUCCAUGGAUGCAUGCUAGCUCAUGCUCAUCACAGUUGAGUAGAUAAUUAGAUUAUGUUCUCUGAUUAUGCUUUUUUAUUUAUUAUUUACAUUUUUUUGCACUUCUUUGUUUUGUUUUGGAGAUCUUGGUAUGUUUGGUUUUGGUCCAAAGGGACUCAGACACAGAGAGAGUUUGUAUAGGAGGAAAUUUGUCUUGCUGUUUUUGUGUACUUUAUUUGCUUCUUCUCUUUUCUUUCUAUGUAUGACACCAUGAAAUCAAAUUAAAACAAAGGAAUUUAAAGGGAAAGAUUUGCUUGCCUUCCUUCCAUGCUCCUCAUAUAUGUUUUCUUUCUUGUUUCCUUUUAUAAUUCAAAUAUUUUCUACUUAUAAAAUGACAUAUACUUGUCUGGGUGAAGUUAUUAAAUGAAUUCAUUUGAAGACUUUGUGUUCCUCUUACAGCAGGAGAGUGCAUAAAUAAAGUGUGUUUGGCAUUGUAAGAUAAAUUAUUUUUCAGUAAAAUUGUAAAAUAAUUAGAAUGGCAGGAGACACUAAGCAAAGUAGGAUUGUCAGGAAAAAAAGGAGUGUGAGCCCAAAAUAUAUAAAUAGUAAUUCUUGGUAGCUUCAGUGUACAAAUCUCAGUUACAUACUUAUGUGUGCCUUUGAAGAAAAACUUCAGGGGGAUGUCAGAAGAUGGAAGGCAUUAAUUUCCUCCACUCUUCUUCUCACACUAUCAAUUUUUUUCUAAGAAUUUUAAAAUCAAAAUCAUCUGUUUUAUGGUAUGUGAUGUCAGAAAAUGAAAAAAAGAUACUGAUAGAAGAGCUGUGAUAUUGGUUUAUUGUGCAUAGGUUUAGGAAGUGAGAGGUUGGUUUGACAUUGAUGAUG
Molecule: long non-coding RNA, 59177 nt
Filed under: Phaseolus vulgaris (common bean)
Lineage: Eukaryota; Viridiplantae; Streptophyta; Magnoliopsida; Fabales; Fabaceae
Description: long non-coding RNA (PVUL_LNC002798)
Source: RNAcentral